CCGACCAUUGAGGCCUGUGGAGAGUUGAAUUUGAGCAGGGAGUUUUGGGGGGAGUGGUUAUGGCGGAGUUUGGUGAUUGGUAAGUGCUGCUGGUUUUUUUAAAAGGGUUUCCAGAGGUUUAAAGGUUGUUUGCAAGCUUUUUCUAAUGGUAUUUCAAAUAUAUGUGAUUUCGCUGACACCGUGCGGUGCCUCGGAACGUCAGGCCUGUGUAAAUUGGGAGUUUCCUGUAUACGAAUGUGUUACAUUAAGAGAAAUUCACAGGGAAAUGCAGAUGAAUUUUCAUAAGAUUUUUUUUUAAUUGCCAAGUGAUGUGGAAAUGUGGAUAACUGGAUUUAAUCUUAGAAAAAUGAGAAAUUAAGAGAAAAUAAAUUGACAAAUUUCUCCCCCCUUCUAGUGAUAAUACAGGGUUUCAGUUCUGAACAACUGAGGGGUUUUCCUAGGCCAGGUUGCUGAAUUUGACCCUGUUUGAGCCAUUGAGGAAGGACGCCUUUUGCUCAUUCUUAUCUGACCCUUUCGUACCAGGCUGUAGGAUUGGGCUGCCUAAUAUGCCAUUGUUUAAAACAGGGCAGAGAUUACUGAAUAAUUUAAAAACACCUUCAUUCACUGUAAGUUGAGUAAUGAAGUGGGAAUGAGCCAGAAUUCAUUAGUGAUAGUGCUGAGUGACAGUAUAAUAGAUUUUCAGCACUUUCCUCCCAGGUUUAUGAAAUAUAGAGUUCCACAAAUAUGCCAUCUCUUGUAGACCAUUAUUCAUAUUAGACAAAGAAAUGAGGGAAAGCAAACUUUCAUUGUAAGGAACUGCAGAGAAAAUGGAGCCAAACCUUUGUCUGUCCCAAUUUGUGUUAGAGUGAAAUAGGCCAUUCUUAACUAGUGAAUUAAUUAUGGAAAGUGCUCCCAUUACAUUUAACAUAUGUAAUUGUUAUUGUUUUUCACUGACAUGAGUUAUUCUGGGUAUUUGUUCUGAUCAAGAUAAAAGAUGAGCAAGUUCCCAUUACAGGAAGCAUUGAUUUAAAUGUUAUCAGUAUUCCUACUUAAACUUUGGAAGAACAGGGGGGAAGGGAGAAAAUGUUUAAGCAGUGUACUGAUUUCAGAGAGUACCUUCAAGCAAAGGGUCUGAGAGUCAAAAUAAUGAGAGAAAUCUAGUUUGGUUUCACGUAUUUCCUACCUAGAUCUUUAUCAUGGAAUUGUAUCUAGCACCAGCUAAUUCUGCUCCCACUUUACCUGGCAUUUUCCAUAGUACAGUGGUACCUUGGUUUACGAACUUAAUCCGUUACGGAAGUCCAUUCUUAAACUGAGGUGUGCUUUCCCUAAUGAGGCCUCCCGCCGCUGGUUCCCUUCCACCGUUCGGAUUCCAUUGUUAGACCAAGGUAAAGUUCUCAAACCAAGACACUAUUUCCAGUUUUGCGGGAUUUGUAAACCAAAUCGUUCUUAAACCGGACUGUUCUUAAACCGAGGUACCACUGUAUGUAAACAAACAAGGGUUACAGGGAGGCCCAACUCUAAACUUUUGGCAAGGGGCAAGGCAGGAAAGGACACUGGAGAGCCACAAUUGGUUGUGAUGCACAGCAUGCUUGUAAUCAUAUUUAGGGACAAAUGUGUUUGGCAUGGGAGCAGCUGGUGGAACCCAGUUGUCUCAUACAGUGUGAAGUAUCUCUCUGGUGACCAUGCAUAGGUUACUGUUGCUCUGCUUAGCAUGCCUCACAGGGUUAUGAGGAUGAAUACUGGAUUCAGUCUGAAUUCCUUCCAAGAAGGGCAGGAAAGGCAUGUGUUUGUAACAGCUACAAAUAAGCAGUUGGGGGAGGGGGAGAGAGAAUCUGCCUUCCCCUACUGCUACUGGCGAUUCAGGUGGAACUGGGGAAAGGCCUUGAGUAUUCAUCUGCCAAGAAGCUCUCUCUCUCCAGCUCACAACACUCCUCCCAAACUGAGUGCUAGAAUGACUUUGUGAACAAAACAAACUCCAUUAGUAAUAAAAGUGUUGGGGUGGUGUGGUUUUUCUAAAAUAUUAUUUAUGAAUGCCAACAGGAAUGCUAUUGCAACAACUUCAAAGAAAGUUCAGCUGGCACGUUAUUAAGAAGGGAAAACAUGUUGAGGUGGCUGCUUGGUUUCAGAGCUAAGCAAUCUGAGCAGAAGGCAGUUAUGUAGCAGAGUUCUGGAAGCCUUCCAUCCACUGCUGCUGCUCCCAGAUAUUAACCCAAGAUGCAGACUAAACAUUUGUACCCUGUUUGCACUGCCAGCUGACAAAUGAAGGUAAUUAAUGAGCAGCUAUAAGGUAGAAGAGUCUGGAAAAUUGCAAGGCUUGUCAACUAAAAUGCCCAGCGCUGACGCCAGAGUAUGGAUUUGAGUGCCUUAGGCCUGCUAAGUAAUCUUGCACAGAUGUGCACUUUAUAUUGACUUUCUGCAAAGUAUUCCUUGCGUUGUACUUUUUUGGCUCCUCUGUGUAAGAUCAUCCCCUUGACCAAUUCUUUCUGGCAGGCCAUAGGCAGGGAAGAAAUAUCACCACUGCAUAUUCCGCUGCCAGUCAUAGGAAGCAGCUGGCAAUGGGAUUAGACACUUGUCAGCGUUACAUGCAGGUGUCAGUUCUUUAAAGACUCCUCUGACAAUGCAUGCUCUCAGAGACAGUAAAAUCAGUUGCAUCUGCUCUACCGCUUACUAGCAAUUUCUACUGGGAACCCAGACCAAGGCUUUCCAAAAUACAGUGAUAAAGUGGGAGGCCCACAAUCCUUCGAGCUCUCAGGUGAAAAUUUAUUGGCUCUGUUUUUCCCAGCCUAAUGUAGGAAGACUCCUGUUGGAUGAGAUGAGAGGUCUAUCUCCUCCAGCAUCUUAUUUCAUUUAGUGGCUCACUGUAUGUCAUAUACUAUUUUAGGGCGCUUCCACACUAGUCCCCCUAGUGUAAUGCGACUUGCUCUUUAUCCUGCCUACAUGCCCCUUUAUCUACCCUCAAACUGGUUGUUGGGGGUUAAGAAGAACCCCCAGAAUAUGAUGCAGGGGACGAGAGAGGAGAUUGUUCCAUCAGGUAAACUGAAAUGCUUGCACUGAUGUAACAAUUGUGGUAGCGCAGCGUUUAGAAUUCCAUCUUAAACUUUAAGAGCACCUCGCACAUCUAAGAGAUUAGACCCAAGCAGGAGGUAAGGCUAGAAGCUAGAGAGAAAGCAGCUAAAGGAGAGAAGACUUGUUGUACGUAGUUCUUUAAUAAAUCUAUUUCUUGUUCAACUUCUCUGGCCUGCUUAUUAUUAAUUAAGGAACACUGCAGUUAAGAGUGUUGGAUUUACACUAGUGAGAAAUGGGUUCAAAUCCAGUAAACCAUACAUUUUACUGGAUUAUCAAGGGCAGUUGUUAUAUUUCAGUCUAAUUUACCUCACAGUACUGUGAGAAUAAAGGAUUAUAUAUAAGAGGAAAAAAUGUAAAUAGUAAUACACCAGAUUAUAAAUGCACUGAGAAUACCAAAUCUAGAUCUAUUCUCUGCUGUAUGCCAUUGACUUUCUUUCAACAAGUAAUGAACACACAAGAUUAACCUGCAGUUUAUUACUUUUUGCAAAUACUAAAAUGCUCUCCUGUUGAAUAGUAAUUAGAAAUACUGAACUUCCAUGAAGAAUAGGCAGUUGGUUGAUAUUAAAGCUGCAAUAUAAACAUCGUCAUUCAGUAUUCCUCGCUGGCUAUUUUAACAAUUGCAAUCAGUGGCAAAUUAGCUUUCUUGUGAAAAUCAUUACGUACCAAUAAUAAGAUUCACUCCAUCUUUUUGUGAGACGAGCAAAUCUUUCACAGAGGCACCGACAGCCACAGGAAGUGAAUGGGAAGUUUGACCAUAGAAAGGGUAGUUCACACAGCUACUAAAGCACCAAAAAAUGCAUUCAUAAGGAUUUUGCCAUCAUGAGUAAAAUCUGAUAUGCACAUUGGCUCUUUUGUAUUCUCUAUCAGCAGGCCAGGGUACAAUCCUAAAUCUGGCCACUGCCCAGUAGGGCUUAACAGAACCACAGGGCCACUGCCAAAUCUGUCACCUUUUUGUGCAUACAAGCCAGGGUGGAAAGUAGAGGGGAGUGACCCAGGAACAGCCUGCAGCAUGCACAGCAAUUGAGCCCAAAUCAGGCCUGGUGCUGUCACAUGAAUGCCCUAUUUCAGAAUUUGUUGCUAGCUGCUGCUCACAGGGAACACUUCUACCCACCCAUUUGGUAGGCAGAACAGAGAGCUCUGCACCAAUGGAGCAACACUAGUAUCAGUCCACAGGCAGAAGCUGGAGGAGACUAUCUGGCAUGACUGGGCAGGUAGACACCUCCACCCAGCACCCUGUCUAGUUCAGGUGCUCUACAGCUGCUUUUUUAAAGAAGGGAAAACUGUGGAUGAUCAUCAUGUUUCUCCCCACAUUACAUUUAAUUAAGCCCUGGAUUUCAUCUCAUGGAGGAAGGACCAUUGUACAGUACGUAUAGCCAUGCAACUUGUGGACAGUUCUCACAAACUGCUUAAUUCAUGGCAGCUUCAGUUUCUAUUCAAUGGGUGGUGACUUUCAGCGGCUCUGUAGCCAUAUCCCAAACUUGCAACGUGGCCUGUGUACAAUGGACUCAUGUGGAAUGAGCCACUGUUGUUGUUUUAAACAGUUUUCAUGAGGCUGGUUUGUGCUGAGUUCUACACAUGGCACAAUUUUUUGCACAAUGGGCUCUGCAUCUAGAAGCACAACUAAAAAGCAGCAUGAAUCGCCUAUAAACUACACAUCUUGUUUACUGAAAGAAUCAUAAAGUUUGGCCUAUGCAGCCAGUCCUACACAUGUUCACACUGAAGUUGAGUCCUCUUACGUUCAAUGGGACUUGUUCCCAAGUAAGUUUGCAUAUGAUAGCAUCCUCUAUCUGGCUUUAGUCAUAUAGUGGCUUCCAGACUGCACAAAGCACUUAAUCCCAGAGAUGUUUGUUGCUAGUGAGAGCAGCAUUUGAGAGCACAUGCUCGGUGAUUUCAGUUAAAUUUAAGCCCCUUCCAGGGAUGCUUUGCAGACAAAGCCCAGCAAUUUGCUCACCAGUCCAUUUUCUUUCAUGUAGAAGGGCUGGAUUAUUCUUUAUUAUUACAGUAUAUUAGGCAGAGAUGUGCCAAGUGGGUGCUGGCUAACAUCUCUGAAUGCUUAAAUGAUAGGUUCUCUAGCUAUGUAGUAAUGUAAGCUUCUGAGCUGAGCACCCUUUCAUUAUGCGCUAUUUGAGGUCAGGCUCCAGGCUGUCAAAGUGACUUGUGACAGUUCCAUAUCACAGGAAAUUAGGCAUAACAUGAAGAGCACAAGUUCACAUACCUCCACAUUUUGUAUACAGAAGUCUGAGGCUUAACAAAUGCUAGAAACAGGACUGUACUAUAACACAUGAGUUAGAAAUAUGUAUUGUUUUACCUUUAGUAAAUGACGAGCCCUAUAUAAUUACAUUCUAUUCUUACUAGGACAUGGUAAAUAGUGGUAAAUAAUUUUUGCGGUUAAUAAUCAAUAUGCAUCUGUGGCACACUACUGUGUGUGUCACAAAGGCCUGUGUGUUUUUGUUUGGGUGUGGAUAAAACUACAAAAGAGUUGGGUAGAAAACUGGGAAGAAAAACCCCAGCUCUAGCUUCUCCCUGCUCUCAUUUUUACACAUUAGAUAAGCAUGACCUAAUGUUCUUUUAGUAGAGUAUGGAGGCACUCAUAUGAACUUUUGGUAGGUCAAGGGCUAAUUUGCUAGAAGCUAUUUCAUUUUUCAAAUAUACCUAUCACUGUUAGGCAUCAUUCUCUAGUGGGAGACAAGGGAAAGGCAUGUCUGGAUAGUGUUUCAUGAAUCCACAUUUUAUACCAAACUAAAAAGAAUGAGGCAAUUAAUUUUCAAUGGUUUCCUUAGAGUUUCAAGGACUUUAUUCAGGGGAUACUUCUGAGAGUGUUAACACAGCAGAUCUAGUUAAUCAUUUCUUUUUCUCCAGACCCUUCUGACUUUGGCAGAAAUGGCAAAAUCUGACAUUAACCUUGAUCUUUAAUUUGACAUCCAUGACUUUUGGAGAGUUAAUUUUUGAAACUCAGUACAUACUUCAAGUUGUUUAAAGGAUUUAAAGUGAACGAAGAUUCAGCAUUGCCCCCCCACAAAUACCCAAAUACAACAAGGUUUUGAAAUUCUCUACAUUUUAUGAAAACAGAAAAUUGAGAAUAAUUUUAUUCCAUUGGACACAUGCAUUGUUAUUUUUUUAGCACAGGAAAUGUUUCUAUAAAGUUUUAAGAUAACAGCAUUCCUAUAUUUAUGACCCUUAUCAAACAAAACCCUGCUGAGUGUAUUUUCAUUUGAAAGGGCUUGCCUGCAGAGUGUGGUGCAACAUGCUAUUACUCUGAUUGAUGGGACACCCUCGUGUCCCAUAAAUUCCCAUUAUUUACAUUAUUAGCCAUAGAACUUUUGUUUAAGCAACUGUGCACCCUUACCCAAAUCAGUGGUGGUGAAUCACAUAAUCCAUUGAACAGGUUGCUGGAGAUGGUACGGAUGUCUACCUCCCUUUGACAUCAAUAGGGCCUUAGCAUUUAACAAUGUUCUAGAUUGCACUUGCUGAAGAGUGUUUCAUGGACUGUUCCAGGUUUCUUCCUUGAACUUUCAGAUAUCUUUAAGGACAUCAAUAGCUCUUUUUUCUGCAGUUAAGGGAAAACAGGCGAGCAAUAUUCUACACAGGCAAGCAACAGGUCAGGGACACCUUCCAGCCAAUCAAAAGCACUCAAUGAGGGUAUAGGGCAGACUGGUGUAGCCUGGUGAGGGAUUAUGGACCAAAGAGGGGCCUGAGGGUCUCCACUUCCUAGUGCAAAGGAUUAACUGUAAUAGACUUCUUACAGCCGGGCUUUUGCUAUUCCACAUGGACACUGGAUAGCUACCCACAGUUUAGCCUAGGCUCUCUGAACACACCACAACAUAUCUAGCUGUGGGUUUGUUGUGGGCACUUGCCAUAUUCCAAGACAGAAUUAGAUAGACUUUUAACACCUUUGGUUUCAGUGGGGUACAUAAUGCUUAACUCUAUGUUGGAUUGUUGCCUUGCUGCAAGGCACUUAACCUACUUAUUUAUAGUUCCCAACACAUUUUUCAUAGGCUGGGGUAGUAGCACAAGAGGUCUGACACACACACACACACACACACACACGUAGCAAUCCUAGAUUUAACCAGUAGGGCAGUCAUGGAGCCGCAGCUUAGCUGUGUAACCUUGUGUGUAACGUUAUGGGCACAUACAAGCAGAAAGGGCUAGGGAUCGCUUCACAUUGCCACAAAAAUGUCCAGACUCAGUUUUAAGCUUUAACUACUGUCAUUGGUUUAGAGCAGUAGUUCCCAGUUGGUGUUACGCAGACUACCUGCACCAUUUGGAUAACAAAUACUACCAUAGAGCUAUAAAUAUUCUCAAAAGUAGGGGGUCCAUGUCUUGGCUUUUGAAAGUACAUAGUACUUAGCUAAUUGGGAACCAAUGCUUUAGAGAAUAAUGUGAAAGAAACACGUUUGAGGCACAGUUAAAUAGCAUCUACAAGCAAUAAUUCAAUUUCCCUCCCUCUCUCUCUCUCUCUCUCUCUCUCUCACUCUCACACACACACACACGUUCUUAACAUCUAUACAUAGAGAUAAAUAAUCUCCCUCCCUUUUGCGCCGUCUUUUCCAGUGAAGUAGGAGUCAUUACCCUUUUAUUAUUAUAGAUAUGUUCUCUAGGAGUUGAUUCAAUGAAACAUAUGGCCCGAUUAAGGACAUAUAAAUUAAGUGGGAAGGGAUUGCGUUUAAUAAUUACCUGCAGCUGCAGCUCUCAGCAGUUGCAAAAAACAUACACAUUUCUAAAACUCGUAUUUAUAGAAGCACAGGAAAGUACCAAUGUUUUUUCAAAGGAAGAGAGAAAUGUAGGCACAGUAAAGGACGUAAUGCAGCUUGAAACCCAGUGUAAUUCUUUCUAUAUGCAGGCCACUGCUCCAUUUUUCAGCUUGCCAAAUGUGCCAGUUGUCAAUGCCCAGUUCAUUAGCACUUUUCUGGUGCUACGAAAGGCCAGGCCUAAAGGCCUGAAGUUCAAUCUCUGCUUAAAAUACAGUGUUUCUUUCCCAUAUUUCUAAUUUUUUUAACAAAGGCAGUUUGCUGGCGUUGCUUUAGUAACUGCAUGUGAAAUAAAUGGAAAGUAACGCUUAUUACUUGAAAAACUAGAGAGAGACAUGAAAUGGAAGCAUUAAACAUAAUAAACCUGACUGUGUCUUAGCAACUGUAUGGAGUCUAUCUUUCAAGUUUAUUAUGGUUCGAUGGUUAUCAGAGACUUAGGCAAACAUUCACUCCCAUUUAAGAAUUGAAAACAAUUUCUCAGCUCUUUUACAGGCAAUCCCUUUCUUAAACCAGCAUUGUCUUUCUCACUAGGAAGUCUCUUCUUUCCACUCAUAUCGCCCCGUUAUAUUGAUUGAACUCCCCUUCUAAUGCGCAAAGCUAAUGGCUCCAUCUUCCUGCAUGUCUCAUGAAAAUAGUAGGGAAAUCAAUUCCUCAGCUUAUGAAGACACCAAAGAUCUUUUAAAAUCUUAAAAAUGGGUGGAAAGAUCAAUGUCUCCUUAGUUUCAUCUUCAAUACCAGCUGGUGCCUAAGCAGGCCAUGAGUCUUUUGAGAAGGACUGCCUUCAUAAACCAAUAUCAAUAUUUCUGGAAUACACUCUUCAUGCUGAAUUGAUGUGUGACCUUGAUAAGAGUCCUUAAAGUUUUCUUGACUGCAAUGAGAUUAGGGCUGCGUUCCUUAUACAGUAGUACCUCUGGUUAAGAACUUAAUUUGUUCCAGAGGUCCGUUCUUAACCUGAAACUGUUCUUAACCUGAGGUACCACUUUAGCUAAUGGGGCCUCCUGUUGCUGCCGUGCCACCAGAGCCCGAUUUCUGUUCUCAUCCUGAAGAAAAGUUCUUAACCUGAGGUACUAUUUCUGGGUUAGUGGAGUCUGUAACUUGAAGCGUCUGUAACCUGAAGCAUCUGUAACCCGAGGUGCCACUGUAAACAUUUACUGUACCUGAAGUCAGUGGGACUUUCUUCUUAGUAAACAGGCAUAGGGUUGCCCUGUAACUAUAACUGCUGAGUACUUCUGGUUUAUAGAUAAUGAACAUUUUGAAUCUUACUGAUUGGGUGGACAAAUUACUGCUCUGAAAAUGGACUCAUUGGGUGGUGUCCAACUAAGUUUUACUCAGAGUAUCCCCACUGAAACUAAUGAACAUAGUUAAGUUAGGUCUAUUACUUUCAAUAGGUCUAGCUAAAUGCCAUCUUAUGUUGUCAACAAUGGUCUUUCAUUUUUUAAAUUUGUUUUUGUAGUCUGCUGCUAUGCACGCCAAUGAAGGCCAUUUUGCCCACUGAGACAUACUAUACAUACAGCUUAAGUCCUACUCAAUGCAGUGGACUUGCUUUUGAGCAGACACUUGUAUACACACACUUGUACUGCAAGUGUGUACAGGUUUGCCCCUUUCACAGUAUUAUUAGUUAAUCAGUAGAGUGUGGAUAUAUAUAGCCGACUUUUGAAAGCCAACUCACAGUUGACAUGACAAAAUCUGCAAUAAACAACAGGAGCAGCUAUUUUAAAUUAUGUUUAUUAUAUGUGGGGAAAAACAAAAUAAAAUAUUGCAGAGGUAGGAAAAUGCUAACUUUAUGUGGGCUCAUGUGAGAAUGAAUUCAGUGUCAAGUUAGCAGGGUACAUACAUACAUACAUAAAAUAAAAUAAAAUAAAAUAAAAUAAAAUAAAAUAAAAUAAAAUAAAAUAAAUUGCUAGAAAAGUGAAAGUUCAAAACUGAUGCAACCAAAAUAUAAAUUGAAUCAAUGAAACAAUACAACAGGACUGCCUUUCCAUUUGAAUUUAAGUGGUCUGGCUGCACCUACCCUCUGAAAUUCCCUCCUGUUACUUAUCACAUAGUGCCUCCCUAUUGCCACGGUUCCAACUCAGUUGAUUGGCACUCAUCCAGUCCAUCACUGCAUCCACAUGAUGGUCCAGAUCAUGCUUAAUCAUUUGUGAUUCAAAUGUUAUGGAGAAAGAGAGCUGCAUGUUAAUUCACUUUAAGAUGUAUCACAGGAAGCGAUUAAUAAAUGGGAUUAAAUAAAUAAUAAUAAUAUUGGUUACAUGAAAAUCCCAGCUUUCCAGAGGGUUCGGUUGGGCCCCUAUACCUCUAAUAUGCUCAAGACUAACAUAGGAACACCACAGGGAUGCGUACUCAGUCCACUCCUUUAUAUUCUCUACACGUACGAUUGUGUCACUACUCACCCUAGUAAUAGGGUUGUCAAAUUUGCAGAUGACACAACCGUGAUUGGGCUCAUCUCUGAAAGGGAGGGUGAAACGGAUUAUAGAGAUGAGGUGGAGCGGCUGACAGAGUGGUGCAGAGCUAACAACUUGCUCAUAAAUACAAGGAAGACAAAGGAGCUUGUGGUGGACUUCAGGAGACAGAAGAGCAACGUCCAGCCACUUUUGAUUGAUGGGGUCUGUGUGGAGAGGGUAACAACGUUCAGAUUUUUGGGCAUUGAAUUACAAGAGGAUCUGUCCUGGAGUGUCAACACAAGGGGGGCUUGUGAAGAAGGCGCAGCAGAGACUGUACUUUUUGAGAAUACUAAGGAAAAACCAUCUUCCGCAGAAACUGCUGCUUGCCUUCUAUCACUGUGCCAUUGAGAGCGUGCUCACUUAUGGCUUAUGUGUGUGGUACGGAAGCUGUACUACCCAGGACAGGAUGGGGUUGUGCAGGGUUGUUAAGGCAGCAGAGAGCAUUGUUGGCUGCCCACUCUCCACCUUAGAGCAGAUUUAUGCCACAAGGUGCCAUAGGAAGGCACUGGACAUAGUAAAAGAUCCAUCGCAUCCUGGUCACUGUCUCUUCGAGCUCUUGCCGUCGGGACGGAGAUACAGGACGAUGAAGACAAGAACGAGCCGUCUUAAGAACAGCUUCUUCUCCAGAGCGAUCUCGACCCUGAAUGGGAAGCCCGGACUUUGAAAGUCAUCUAAUCUCCCUUGCUGUAUUAUACUGUAUUGAUUAAUUAGUGUUUUUAUGGAGCAGUCAAGUAAUUUCGUUGUCCCCGAAGGGGGCAAUGACAAUAAAGAUAUUAUUAUUAUUAUUAUUAUUAUUAUUAUUAUUAUUAUUAUAUUACAUGGUGCUUUCUUUAGGUUCUUUCUAUAUACCUAUAUAAUCUUUUGCAAAUGACACUGUAUUUUAUAAAUUUCUUAUUAAAAUGUAUCUCCCUGGCUUCCCCAAUACAGUGGUGCCUCGCAAGACGAAAUUAAUUCGUUCCGCGAGUUUUUUCGUCUAGCGAAUUUUUCGUCUUGCGAAUCACGAAUUCCCAUAGGAAUGCAUUGAAAAUCAAUUAAUGCGUUCCUAUGGUCAAAAAAAGUCCAAACAAAGCCAAAUUUGGUACAACAACCUCCCCAAUUGUUGCAAACCCCUCCCCAACUGUUCCCCCAGUCACCCAGCACACAGAAAUUCAAAUCCAGAUUUUUUAAAAAAAAACAGCAGAGUGGCCCAAUGGUCACAGAAAAUCAUAAAAAUGCAGAAAAAAACCACACAAGCUUCCAGAUUCUUGCAAACCCCUCCCCAACUGUUCCCCCAGCCACCCAGCACACAGAAAUUCAAAUCCAGAAUUUUUUUAAAAAAAACAGCAGAGUGGCCCAAUGGUCACAGAAAAUCAUAAAAAAUGCAGAAAAAAGACACACAAGCUUCCAGAUUCUUGCAAACCCCUCCCCAACACCAAGUCCUUGAAUUCCAAACACCCCAACCCAAAAUCCAAAAACCCCCAAAAAAGUUUUAAAAGCUUAACUUGGCUGCAAAAGAAGUUUUGGAAAAGUUUCAAAAAUCACCAAAGUCUUUAAAAACCUCAAAAAAGGCUACUAUGUACACUGCGUUCUAUGAGUUGCUCCUUGAAGUCAAGUCGCAACUGUAUUAACGGUGUUAAGAAAAAGGAAACAAACUUGCAAGACGUUUUCGUCUUGCGAAGCAAGCCCAUAGGGAAAUUCGUCUUGUGAAGCAGCUCAAAAACGGAAAACCCUUUCGUCUAGCGAGUUUUCCGUCUUGCGAGGCAUUCGUCUUGCGGGGCACCACUGUAAAUAAGAUUGUUAUUAUAUAAUGCUGCUCUUCAUUAACUGGAUAGCUGUCAUGAAACUACUUUGAGGUCAUUUAGAUUAGCUGGUAAAGAAAUUUAACACACAUUUGGUCAGGGAUCUACACAAAUAAAGAUGUUAACAAGAUAACUUACUUUUGACCUAGGUAAACUUGUAGCCUAUUAUUAUUACAUUUAAAAAGUCAGUAUGCUUUUAUUCUAAUUACUCAUUAAUAUUAGACCCAACAAACCACAAUGUGGUCCUUCCAAUGAUCAAAGACUGGCUUUGAUUAUCUAGGCUAUUCAAAUAAGCUCCUACAGUACUGACAUAAAACAUACAAACUUCAAAAUAAGUGGGAAGAUUCCAGGCAAUGAAACAAACUCCCCUGCUCAUGUAUGGAGAGGUCAGCUGUCAUCAAGAUCACAGUCAAGCCAAGGAUACUUUAUGUUCUAAAGAAGACUCCCUUCUUUGGCAGGAAUGUGGAAGGGUUUUUAUUGAAAGGGUGAAAUUAUUCAAAUUUCAGAGUGUUCCCAAAUCUAAAGACUUUUAACGCAUGAGCACACUCACUCAGAAACAUACCGUAUUUUUCGCCCCAUAGGACGCACCUAGUUUUUUUGGGGGGAAAUAAAGGAAAAAAAAUUGAUUUCCCCCCCAGCCCGAGCUUCCCCUGACCCCAGCCCCCAGAACAGGCUGCUAUCCGUUAGCCGUGGGCUAGCGGAGCGCUGCGCGAAGCCCCAAGCUUGGGGCGUGCUGAGCUGAGCACGCCCCAAGCUUCUGGGUGCCGGCAAGGUCUCCACUAGCCGUGGGAGAGCCGCACGACUUCGCACGGCUCUCCCACGGCUAGCGGAGCCCAAAGCUCGGGGUGUGCUGAGCUCAGCGCGCCCCAAGCUUCUGGGUGCAGGCAAGCUCUCCGCUAGUGUGGGAGAGCUGCGUCUCCCACGGCUAGCGGAUAGCUUCCUGAAGCCUGGAGAGCGAGAGGGGUUGGUGCGCACCGACCCCCCUCGCUCUGCAGGCUUCAGCAAAAGCCUGCAUUCGCCCCAUAGGACGCACACACAUUUCCCCUUCAUUUUUGGAGGGGGAAAAGUGCAUCCUAUAGGGCGAAAAAUACGGUAAGUGGAACAAAACCUCUUUUUUUCUGACAUCCCAGUUAUUAUCUGGAACUCUGUGGAUGAGUACAGAUGCCAUUUACCUGUGUUCGUGUAACCACCUGAUAGAUAAGUCAGUCCCUGUGGUCCAAACCUGAUAACUGGAUAAUUAAUCAAAUAGUUAUACUGUGGGAAGUACCACUAGACAAUUUUGUGAGCACCAUUUUUGUUGGAAAAGUGACAAAUAAACGGAUGACGACGACAGGUGCUUAUCGUGUUUUCACCUGGUGUUUGUCUUCCAACGUUCAUUGUUGUUGGACAGUUUGGAUUUUCCUGCGCCUUGGCAGCUCCCCACUCUGCUAUUCCAAGCCUGCUGAGAGAAAUGAUGCAUAACAGCAUCAUUGUAGAACUUCUCCUUCCUUCCUUCUUUCCUUCCUUCCUUCCUUCCUUCCUUCCUUCCUUCCUUCCUCCUUAAAGCCACAAUAGCUUGCCUGAAAUAGAAUAUUUGGACCCAACUAGACGCUGGUUGCCUUCUACAGAAUGUGUAGAUCCAGUGCAAAAGUGCAUCUGCUGGCAGGGGCCAGGGAAUCACAGCAGACCAAGAGAGGAAUUUAACCCUUUCUUUUCCUGCUUCAGUUCUGAGGAAAAUCAUAGGAACCUAGGAAGUUUCCUUGUACCGAGUCAUACCAUUUGUGUGGGAUGUGAUACAUAAGUAGCAGUCAAAUACAACAUUCCUUAUUUUCCUAGAGUGGACAUGCGAGAGACUGUUUGGUCCAGCCAGUCAAAAACUUCCUGUUUCCUCCUGGCUGGGACAUACUUCCUUUGCAUGUGACUAGAUGUGGGCCUGACCUUACCUGCCUAGGUAACACAAAAGGACAGGGCAAGCAGCCAUCUCUCUCUUUUUGACUUUUGACUCUCCGUAUGGGAUAGAUCCACUUUGUAACUAAGUCUGCCUUCAGGGAUCAAACUGUGAACUGAUGACGUGAGUAAACUUCUUUUAUACAGUAUACUUUACACAAGUUUGUGGUGUGUUUAUUCUUUUAAGAGGGAUAUAAGGGAACUCCCAGGGAUGCGGGUGGCGCUGUGCGUUAAACCACAGAGCCUAGGACUUGCCGAUCAGAAGAUCGGCGAUUCGAAUCCCCACAACGGGGUGAGCUCCCGUUGGUCAGUCCCUGCUCCUGCCAACCUAGCAGUUCGAAAGCACGUCAGAGUGCAAGUAGAUAAAUAGGUACUGCUCCGGCGGGAAGGUAAACGGCGUUUCCGUGCGCUGCUCUGGUUCUCCAGAAGCGGCUUAGUCCUGCUGGCCACAUGUACGCUGUACGCUGUCUCCCUCGGCCAAUAAAGCGAGAUGAGCGCUGCAACCCCAGAGUUGGUCACGACUGGACCUAAUGGUCAGGGGUCCCUUUACCUUUACCUAAGGGAACUUACAGGAAUCUAAUAUUGAGAGGCUUAAACAAGCCUGCAACCAGCUACCUGCUGUGCGUUUAAAAGUGGAAUGUAAAACUCUGCUAAGUUAUAGAACUUGCUAGUACAAGUUAGGAAGGAUAUUAAUAAACAAUAUAGCCUCUCCUGCCUCCGUGAACAUUCCCACAAUUUGUCCCUCUAGUUUAGUACUGUUGACGCUGACAGACAGAGGCUCUUCUUUCAAGGUAAUACGUAGGGAGUCUUUCUCAGUUGUACUUGCAGACACCAGAGAUGAAACCUGGGAUCUUUUUGCAUGAAAAGCAUGAAAACUGAGCCAUGAUCCUUCCCAUUUCUCAAUAUCUGCUAUUUAUUAUUUUAUUUAUUUUGCAAAUUUUAUGUACCACUUGAGUAAUAAACAAAGGAAACACACCUCAAAGUGGUUUACAAAAAUUAUUUGCAUUGGAGAAGUACCCUAGUGAUGCCUGCUGCUAUCCUGAUAAGUAUUGAUACACAUAGGGUUGCCAUAUUUAAAAAAGUGAAAAUCCAGACACAAAGGUUGUUGAAAUUCCGGACAUAUGGCAGCCCUAGAUACACCCCACCCCCAGCAGAUACUAUUUGCUUUUAAAUUAAAAUUUCUAAUGCACAUUCUGCACAAAGUCACAUUUAACAUUGCAUCUCUGUCCCUUCUUUCAUUCAGACAGGUAACAGAGAAAUGCCUAUUUCACUGAAAUGUCUGGAGAAAAAAUUCUUUCAAAAGGUAUUAUUAACAGAUAUUAUUUUAACUAAAUCAUUCUCAAUUUUAUUUUUUUAAAAAACCCUUGCAGCCAUAGUUUAGCCAUCCUGAUCGUAUACAUUUUCCUAGACAAAACAAGGCACUCUGAGAGACAUGGACUUCUACACAAAGUGUGUUGAUCAUGUUACAUUAACAAUACGAUCAGCAAUCACAUCAUAGGCUUCAAAAAAUAAAAUGCCAAGUGCAUUUACUGGUGAUCGUUGCCACAGUAGCCACUGGGCCCAAAGUGCCCUGGAAGGGACACUUUACAUCUUCUCUUGCCAUCUGUGAUCAUAUAGCAUGCGGGUGGGGGGGGGAGAGAGACUCAUGUGUUGCAGUGCCGAUAGCUAUGCCUUCCCAUUUCACUCUGGCCCGGUAUUUUAUUUUAAAAAACUUUUGAUGUGAUGGCUAAUCACAGCGCUAAUGUAAUGUUCAGUUAGGUCCUUAAUUAGUGUUUAUUGUCUAUAGCCAAAGGGUUCUGCUUCUCUAAAUUGUGUCUAGGAUACCCUACCACCUGGAACUAGGUCUGUUGGACCAGCAAGAGACCAGUUAGCUGCUGUAUCGUUCCCAUAUGGUCUGCAGGUACCAGAAGGCCUAAAAUAAGUCUUUAUGGCCCCAUAACUUACCACCAUGUGGACAUGCUUUUCUUCAACUGGUCAUCACAGAUUACUUUCUAAAAGAUACCAAUGGCUAGUGAUAAGCACAAUACAAGGCAUAUUUUCUUGCCGCUUUGCAAUAAGCACUUACCAUUCUUUUUUGCAGAUACAGUUCCAGUUUUUUUCUGUUUGCUGGGAUACAGCCAGGUUGUGGCCUUCAGCACUUUUUCUCAGGUGCCUGCCUAUUUCUUUUUAAUUGUGCCUCUUGAUCCUGCCUGCUGCCUCUUGGAUAGCGAUUUGCCUGCACAAUGCAAGUUCUCAGCAGAGUGCCAAAAACACUCAGCUUGCUAUUUGAAAUGUAUCCCUUAGGUACCGUUGCAGUGUUGUUGAGAAAUGUGCAGUUGGCUGGCCAGCAGGUUUCUGAAGCAGCAAAAUUGAAUUUGGCAAAGGGUGAGGCCGUUCAUAUGGCUUCCAGGUGAACUUUAGCUUCAGGAUCAUUUAACCCUGUGGUAUUUGAUGGUGGUUGUCAAAAUUGCAUUGCUUUUAUUUAAAAUAUGUUUCUUUUGGACCGAAGGAAUAUUUUUUCCAAUGCUUCAUAUUUGCUCUGUUGCUAAGAGAAAUCCUUUCUCUUUGCCUUGUUCUUAAUUUAAAUACAAAUCUGCUUAUCAAGUUUACUUUGUGACAUACAUGUGGUGGUUAAUAUUGACACCCCCCCCCCCCGAAACACAUAUACACUCCCCAUCAUUAUACUUUCCAAGGCAGCUCUCUCUAUUAUCUUUUUGGUUAGGCAAUUGGUAGAGCAAUCUCAUAUGUCAAUUACAUUGGAGUCGGAGAUAUGCUACCACUAUACUGGCAGGAUGGAUAUUGCAUAUGGGAUGUGCUCAGCCAAGGAUGCACAAAAAGAAUCAACAGGAGGGCCUGCUAGUUCUGUGGAUGAACAUACACUGAGGUGUUUAUCAGAAAGACAAAACCAGCUCUGUAUUAGGGUUCUCUGCACAAUCAUAUGGAUAAGUUUGUGGUCUUUUCCAUUACUGUACAUAGUCUUCCAGUCUGUAAGGUCAUUAUUUUGUCAGUACAAAUCACACUCUAUACAUUCAGUUUUCAGAUUAACUGUUGGUUCCUUUUUAUUGUUUAAAAUUGCUUGGAAAAAUACCAGAGUGCCAACAAAAUGCAGCGACGUGUUUUCAAUAUUGAUUUCACCCCCAGCACAAAAAGCUAACAAAUCAGAAUAUAGAUUCAAGAUUGUAUAACUGUUCCAGUUUAGAUUUAUCGGACAUAUUAAAUAGGACAAUCUUGUUCGGUUCUAGCGCCAGGGUACAGAGGAGUAAGUGCUAAAUGUGAUUUAUACUCAAAAACCAAGGAACUUUCCUCAUAUUUCCUAUCCCAUAAACUUGCUAAUCACUUUAGAGAUAAUAUCAUUAAAAUACACACUUCUUACAUCACAGAUUUAAAGCUUUCUGUCCUCAUUCAGACAAACUGGGAAAACUUUUUGAAAGGUCUUCUAAUAAAUAAUAUUGAUAUAUGCUAGGAAUGCACUCCUUAUUUAAUUUUUCCCAUUCUUUUCUUUUCAUCAGGGAACAGAUAGUUUUAUUCAGAAUCUAUUAUUUAUAAACAGUCAUAAAACUGCUUUCAUGAAAUAGUUACACAAGAGAUAUUCCAGAGAGACCCAGCUUUGAGAAAAAUGUAAAAAGUUAUUUGUUUAAAGCCUGCAUGUCCAUGUGUUUCCCUCAGUGUAAUGCAGUAACAACAAAAAAUCUUCCCAGUCUAAAGCAAUUGAGUUAGGAGAGAAGGUUAUACGACGUAUUCACACUUAUUCAUAAAUCCAUAAGUACAGUAAUGUUUCAUAGAUUGUCCUCUGAUGACACAAUGGGGUGUAUGUACUGCUGUAUGGGCUGUGCUCUCACCCCUAAUAAGGGGAAAGAUGGGUGUUGGGCUCCACAGGAACAAAAUACAGUUAAAUUAUUCCGAAGUACUAACUAGGAAAGAAUUAUUUGUAAUUCACAAGCAGCCAUACAAGUUAUAUGCAAGAUAAGGCUACCAAUGACUGCUAGCCAAUAUGCCAAUGAUCAGUCUCCACUGUUGGGGACAGUAUUUCCCUGAAUACCAGUUGCUGUGAAUCUCAGCUGUGGAGAGUGCUUUCUCCCUGAUGCCUAGCUUAUGGGCUUCCCAUGGGAAUUGGUUGGCCACUGUGAAAACAGAUUGCUGGAGAAUAGAUAGGCCCUGGCCUGAUUCAGCAGGUCUUUACUUAUGUCAAUAAGUGAUGCUUGCCCAAGCAAGCUGCUUUUGAUGAAGAUUUUCUUCCUUUCUUGGCAGCUGUAAUCCUCACAACUGGAUCCCAGGGGUACACAGGUGUUUAACUCCCUCCUAGCCUGACUAAACAGUUCACAUAAGCGCAGCAGCCAAGAUUGGAAUUCUUUUCUUGCACAGUACAGCUUCUACAAAAGAAUUUCCCUUUUUCAUAUAGCUUAUACUGUAUAACACUACCCUCUGACCAACCCCAGAACUGCUGGGAAUACAAUUUUUCUUCCUGCAGCAACAAAACACAGGCAGAAGGUGGAAGGGAAAGCAUGCCUUCGUUGUAGCAUAAAUUACAUGUUCUUUGUUCCUGCCUUUGGCCUUCUCCACUUCUCCAAAUGUAUCUCCAGAGCAAGAGGUAAGGUGAUUAUGUAGGGCAUGCCCUGGACUAAAGUUCAGAUGGGAGUUGUGGCCCCAAAUAUCUGGACAGCACCGGGAUGGAAAAGGUUGAUGUAGGGUUUGUCUGGGGUUUUUUUUUACUCUAAAAAAGGAAGCUGGACUUUCCCCCUGUUCUCUCAUUCCUUGGGGAUAUACAUUUGCAUAAUGUACCUGCCUUUUCCAAUAGGUAUCCAUUUGGCCUGAAACUAUGGCUGCCUAUGCACCAUACAUUUCAAGCACAUGACUUCCCCCAAAUCUGGGGACUGUAAUUUGUUAAGGGGUUUAAGGGUUCUGGGAAUUGUAACUGUGACGGGUAAACUACAGCUCCCAAAAUUAUUUGGGGCAAGUUGUAUGCUUUAAAUAUAUGAUGUGUACAUAGCCUUUGUUGUAGUGCAUGAGGGUAUGGAGAGAGAGAGAGAAUGAGAAUAUGCCUGGUGUUCUUAUUGCAAACACUGGGUAGAAGCUUGUGUUCAAUUCUAGUAUAACCUCUAAUGUUCCCAUUGGAACAAGAACAAAGAAUAACAGGAGGAGAAUUGAGAGAGGGUUGAGUCGUGAUCAGGAUUACAGUCUAAAAUAACCUGCGACUGAAUAUGUCUGUGCACAGUUCAUAAAUAUUUCCACAGAUCCAUUUAAAUGUACAGUAAUAUUUAUUUUACUUAUUCAAGUAUCGUGAAGGGAAAUAGUGGUUAUGGUUCCAUUUUGUUAUCAGGCACUACUGGGAGUAAUUAGCAGUGAAUGAACAUAUUAAAACCUCCAUAAUGGGAUUUGGGUAGACACCAAAGCAAAUAAUACAUUAACACAUUAGAGAUUACAGGCAUCUUUAAAAAAUGUAUGGUCUUGCUGGGCGGAUGACAUUACACAGCCAAUAUGUCAGAAUAAUGUUUGCUUGUCCCUUGUUAAUAUUGGUGGAUUUAGGUCCUUAUUCAGCACUUACAAAUAAAUGAUGCAAGCAGGGAUUUAAAAGUUUGAAUAAACCAAACUGUUACUUUUUUCUUUUUGCAUCAAGUGAUACAAAGGGUGCAGUAUUUCUGUGCAUUUCUGAGCAGUUAAGUGGAGUGGUCAUUAAUUAAAUUACUUUCCAUUAUUUUCUUUUUUCCUUCCUCCGUAACAUAUAAAUGUAGUCCAAGUGGGAUCAGUAUGUGAUCCAAUAUCAAUUCUCCAUGAAACCCAUUCGUUUGGUAGUUGUCAUUUAGGACUUAGAGCGAAUAGUUCUAAAUUUGAUCCAUGGAUAACCCUAGGCAAUGCACUACCUCUUCAUAGACUGCAUAUGCACUCCUAUUUACACUGCAACCACUGCCCUCCCACUGCUGGUUUGGGAAGCGAUGUACAUAAAUUAGCCACGAUUCAUAUCCAGCCUGUCCCAGUCCUGUUGUUCUUUGAGAAAUAUUGCACUUUGAUGCUCUUUCUCAUAAAACAGCUUCAAUCCAAAUUGAUAAAAAUAAUGAGCUCACUGUGUUUUAAACCAGUAAUGAGUACACAGUCUUAGCCUCACUUCCUAUUCUGCAAAAGCAGGAUUGAUGAUUAUUCUGUCCUAGAAUUAAAGUUGUGAGUUCUUUAAAUUUUUGUGGUUGUGUUCUGCAACAUGUCAAUGACGCGAUAUUAGUGCAUUUGUGGCAGAUAUAUAGUGGACCAUCCGCACGUCAUUCCACUUCCAUGCCAUUAGUUGUUUCCUGAAUGUGAUGCUUCCUUAAUGUUAAUGCAUUGUUGCCACUGGGAGGGCCAUCACAAAAGCAGGACAAAAAGUAAUCUGGAACAUUACAAUCACAACAAAACUUUUGCAAGCACAAACAUUAUCAGAAGUGGACUGCGUAUAACGACCUGAUGACCACAAAUUAUCAUGAAUGCACAAUAAAAAGGACACCUGGAGGGGCCUUGAUUCUCUUGGAAAAGAAUUGGGUACACCUAAUAUCUCACACAUCAAGAAUGUUAGGAAAAGGAAAAGGGGGGAAAUAGAAGAAAACCUGACAUCUUUCAUCAUUUGUGCAUGUGGACAGCAAGGAAGGACAGAAUUUGGGUUCAGCAUAUGCUAUAAAACCCAGAAAAAGAUGAAAAAAAUAAUAUAUUGUCAGAGCCAAGCAAUAGGAAAGGGAUGAGAAGGAAUUCUCAUAUAGUGAGGAAUUGUGCUUAUGGGGCCAGCAAACCUUCAUAUUGCAAAUGCAACUGGAAAUGACUCUCUCGGCUUUACUGCAAAACAUUACUGAGGGAUUGACUAGGAUAUAGAGAGAACCUGACCACAUUUCCUUGAUGGGUGUGCAUUGUUACUACAUUUAAAACUAGAACUUCAUGGAGUUGAAAAAUAAACAAAAAGAGAAUUAAAAUAACCAAAGUGGUGAGGCACUUUCUCUGCAAGCAGCAGCACCACCACCACCACUAACAACAACAAUUUACUAUUUAUACCCCACCCAUCUGGCUGGGUUUCCCCAGCCACUCUGGGCGGCUUCCAACAGAAUAUUAAAAUACAAUACUCUAAUUAAACAUUAAACAUUAAAAGCUUCCCUAAACAGGGCUGCCUUCAGAUGUCUUUCUCUUUGACAUCUGGUGGAAGGGCGUUCCACAGGGUGGGUGCCACUACCGAGAAGGUGAAAGAUGGUGGGAGAGGGUUGAUGUUCUCUCUCUCUCUCUCUCCCCCCUAUUUUAAAUGAAGCUUUGGGGAGGUCUAUGCAUAGUGGAGAUACACUUCUCUCUCUUCUGCAGCACUAGAACUCUCAGGAGUGGGUAGAGGAAUGCAGCCAAAGAUCCUAUGGGAAGACUGCAGACUGAACAGCCACACACAUCAUCUAGGAACAGCCUUCAGUGAGGUGAAGUAAUUACAGUAAAUAAAGAUUUGCAUAUAGUAUAUUUAUAUGUCUCCUCUAAUUCUCUUUUUUGUUGAUGUGUAAAUUCCCAUCUUAGCUCCAUUCUCCUUCAGACCAUCUGGUCAGGAAUAAGAAGGUCCUUAGUUGUCUCAGUCCACAUAAGCGUUGGGUGGACACAGCAUCCUGCACCAUGGCAAGCUGUUACAUGGAGUAUAUAGCCUUGCAUUUAGCGCCUAAGUUGUUUCCAUGGCCUCCUGCUAGAAUACCUCACAUAAAAAUAUAUUAAAUUCCUUCGGAGACACACAGAGCACAUUUUUGUCACCAGCCGAUAUAUACAGGGAAUUCUCGCCCAUCAGGGAUUAGAGGAAGGACUUUCAAAUUAGAGAGCCGUAUUUCCAGAGAAAUUUACAUUUGUAUAGAAAUAGAGCACAGCUUGCUUUUAUUUAGUAAUCUGUUAAUAUAGGCCACUUCAUGGCAGUCAGCAUUCCCUAAUAAAGAGUCCCUGCUAAUUCUUCAGAAAAUUCAGGGCACAUCUUUCUUUCCCUGACAGCUUUAGGACACAAAUGCUUGUCCUUGGAAUCACAGAUUUAAAGUUUCCUUUCCAUAACAUCUCUUUUCAUGUCCGUAAUUCAUUCACCAAGCUCCAUGUUUACAGAAAUAACAACUUUAAUUUUUAGUGUAUGAACGUCUUUAUCUGUAUCACAACUCAUCCUCCUCAUUUUGGCUAAGCUCUUUUUAAUUUGGUUUUUGUUUACAUCAGACUUUGUUUAUAUCAAAGGAAACUCAUUAUUUGUAUACAUCACACAAGAAGCUGGCUGAUUAUGACAAUGAAGGAAAAAAGCAAAUAGAAGUCCUUAGAAUCUGAAACAUUUUCUGGCCUACUUCAUUUGUUCACAGUUGCGUUACUCUUGGCUCCUCUGAUUACUUUGUUCUUAGCAUCAUUAAUCAGCGAUGAGAGAUGCCAAGAACCAGCUAACUGAAAUCCAACCGGCUAUUGAAGUACAUUUUUUAACCUUCUAUGGAUAGCAAACCAUCACUCCUAGUUCCUCAGAAAAACUAAACAAAGGCCAUUGGAAAUGACUCAUGACAACUUCAAUUAUAAUAGUACAAAGUAGGCUAGUUGAUACAGUGAAGUCUUUUGGAAGAAAGGGGCAGAGAAUAUUGUUGUUGAACUGCCAAAGGCAAGUUAUCCGGUUAGAUUGUAUCCUUGUAACAAUCCAAGAGUGGAGCAGAUGCACCAAGCCGCUUCAUUUACCAGGACAAGAGCCAGAGUCGGGAGACUUCAUCAGAGGCGGAAGACCCCCAUUGCUAGUGUUAGUGAGACUGAGGGUCAAGGGGAGUCACUGGAAAUGGAGAAACUUCCUGAGAUCACCACUCAUAGAAGUGCAUCACUUGGAAGAGUGAGAGAUUCAGGGCUACCAAUUACAUCCUGACUUGUCCCAAGUUCUUCUUCUACAAAAUUGUCACCAGAAGCACGGGCAGCAGUGUGUGGGUCUGAGCAGAGGUCCACACCUGAAGGCUUUUUGGAAUUUCAAGGCCUACUUCCCCUGAUCCCUCUUCAACAGCAAGAAACUACAGCCCAUACAUGCCCUGGAUAUAUGCCCUGCUGAUGCCCCAUUGUUGAUGCAACAUCUCAGCACUGCAUAAUCUGCUUGGACAGCAAUCUUGUUCUGGAGGAAAUCUUGCUCUCUGACCUAUACAGCAGUUGAUCACCCUCCUGGGUCAGAGAAGAAUCUAAUCUAAAUGGCAAUGGUGGCAGGAACCAAGCCCUUUCCCCUGUCCCCCAUUCAGGCCAGCCCAUAUCACAGAUGUGGGUCAUCGUGGGACUCGCAUUGGCUUUGCAGAUUUUGGGGUCCAAAGAGGGAGGCCCACUGAAAGAGACAUACCUGCCAUUACUGGGAUGCUUCCUCCACUUUCAGUGUAGUAGUGCCAAGCAUUACAAUGAGAGCCUACAGUGAGAAACUGCCAUUUGAGCAUAUCCUUAUAUUCAGCAGGCAGUGUUCAUGUUGUUCUUACUUAGACACAAUUUUACUAUGUGUGUGAGAGAUGCUCACAUGUUUUUCCACCCAUGAAACACAUGUGCUGCACACUCUGGGAGUCAAGGUUCAUUGGGAAGUAAGUCAUGUUGCAUGGGAAAUACUCCUGGAAAUACUCCUGGAAGCUGUCUCUGGGAAAUACGAUAGGAGAAGAAUUAGUAUUAUUUCAGUGGUUCCUCAGUGUUUUAGACUAAAUAGGUUUGCCAACAAAUAUCCACCCUUCUUAGAGAUACCUGCCAAGUAUACGGAAGAGAUCAGGAGUUUGGCAUGAAUGUGACAGAAGCAUCCAAGAAGAGAGCUGUAAAGAGAGGCUGGGAUCUGGAUUGAGGUUUUUCUGCAUGGAUUGAAGGCCAGUUAGAAGCAGGAUAGAUUUGCCUGUCAUCAACCCUUGUUUGAAAAAGGAAGCUGUAACCCUCAGUUUAAAAACUUGCUGCAAAGUAACUGGAACCUAACAUUUCUCCACUAGGUGGCUGGGCAGUCUGACAUUACACUAUAUGGAAGAGUUAGGAAUACAGUUAUCUGAGAGCAGAUGUACCUCAGAAUCCAGCCCAGCAGGGCCUAACUGGAAGUUUAUUUUAUGGGAUUUUUUAAAAAAAUAUUUUUUAUUAACCAACCAAUCACAUCAAAUCAAACCAAAUUACAUAAAUUCCAAAUUACAAAGCCGAAUUUUAAAUUUUUGUUGGGGGUACCCAUAUUUCAAGUUCCGAAGAGAUCCAAUCAUCUUCUUACUACUGGUUUAAUGUCCACAGAUCUGUCCAUAUGAUGUUCACAAUACUGUCCACUCCUUUCUUGUUGUUUUCCACAUCUCCUCUUGUUAUUCUCAUAUAUUUUUCCUUUCUCUUUGUGACUUCUGAUGCUCUCCAAAGCGGCUUAAAACAAGUUGUAAUCCUGUGUGGAUAUUUUUAUUCAUCCAAGAAUCAUAUUCAGACUGUUUCCGUAUAUCAUCACUUCCAUAAAUAAAAACAGUCUAACCGUCGUUAAUCUUUACAAGUCUGUCGCCUUUAUCCAACCUCUGAGGAGGUUCCCCAGAAAUGCAGUCCAAAAACAAAUCCAUUCCUCCUCCCGGUUGUAAAUCCUUUGACAAAGCCUGGCAAGAUGGCAACUGUUUUUAUUGCUGCGUCACUCCAAAAGCUCUUAUUCUUUACUCAAUCUCCAUAAAACAUACUUUUGGUUAAAGUUCAUUUCCACACAGUCCUUAAACAUCCUGCUUAGGUCAGUUAGCCGACGGAUCCAGAGUUGGGAAUACAGUUAUCUGGGAGCAGAUGUACCUCAGAAUCCAGCCCAGCAGGGCCUAACUGGAAGUUUAUUUUAUGGGAUUUGUUAACUGCCUCCCUUUCAGAUUUCUCUGCAAGAAUGGCUAAUAUCGACAAGAUGUUGUUGCAUUAAUUUGUACUGCUAUUUUGAUCCAGCCUCUCACCAGGGAAAUCAAACUGAACCUGCUUACUCCCUUAGAGUGAUAUUGGGUGUGAGUCCUUGUGUAACCUCAACUUUCUGGGACAGAGCUUCGCAACACGAUGAGGUUUUUUUUUUGCAGAUUGGAUGCAAAAAAGAAAACAAAAGGAAGUGGCGGGAUUCUUCAAGGGUAUAUGUACACCACAAAUCUGCAUCAGUUUUGAGGCAGUUUAACUGUCAUGGCAUCCAUCUGAGGACCAGACAUUAAGUACCUGUGCCUUUAAGAGCAGGCAUUUUCCCUUCUCCACAGACUGACAGUGUGGGGUCUUAGCCUGUAUUGGGACCCACUGGUGGUGGUAAUAGGAGGCUUUCACACUUUGACCCUCACUGGAUCCAGAUCAGGCCUCCCACACCUGCAAGUUGAAUUGGGAGGAAGGUUGCAUUAACUUCAAUGGAGGCUUUCCCCCCUAGAAUGCAGGUGUGUGUGUGUGUGUGUGUACGCUCAUCUGGCAGGUGACCAAGGGUUAAAGUCUCUAGCGUCAGUCUGGAUUGGGCCCUCCAUGCUGGCAAUUAGUGUAAACGGAACCCCUCCUUCUUUUUUCAAAAAAUUUAUGCACCGCUUGAUUGGGGGGGAAAAACAAAAUACCUCAAUGUGGUUUACAAACAAGAAAAAAAAUAAAUCAAGAAAAAAAUUACAACCCUACUUUAAAGCAUAUAAAAGUUAAAAUACUAAAACAUUUAUUUAUUUAUUUUUACUUAAAAGUGGGUAGCUAAUCACUGUUUAGCUUGGCUCUGAAUCAGGGUGCUGAAAACUGUUUGUUAGAGAUUCCUUUCCUCACAGAACUGCAGGAAUUACUUGUGUAAAAGAACGACAGUUAGUUUCUGUCUAUAUUGCAGAUAAACCCUUCAAUUUGUUAAUAAAUCUGGUAAGGACCCCACUGAAAGAGAUCUCUUUAAAUAUUGGAAGAAAUAAGAGCCAUAUGGUAAAUACAGCUUUGAAUUUCAGCCCUUUACAUAAUUUACCCAAAGCACCCUUUAACUACAGCAUCCAACACUGGCAUUUUCAGACUUUGUUGUACAGGGGGCGAUCAACAAUUAAUUUGCUCUGAGAGGUCAACUGUAUUAUAUUUCAUUGGCUUAUUUGACGGCCAAGCUGGAGAGUUGCCCCAUGAAAGAAACAGCUCUUUUUAAAAAAUGUGCAAAGCUCUGCAGAAAUCCUCGCUUCACCAUGCUCUUAGGCCUAUACAGCAUGCUACAUGCUGACUGCAUAUGUCAACUUCUAGUUCUAAAAGAUUAAUCUCCCAUUAGCCAGUGUGUUGUUAAGCCUUUUGGGGAAUUCUUGUGAGUACCUUUGGCUGACAAAGCGCUAUUUUCACUCAGGAUUCAAUAUUUAAUGCAGCAGCGUGUGAACCACAGGUGUCCAACUGUAUAUAGCAAUUUGGGAGAGAGAUUUUAAUGGAAGUGGUUUAACACCAUGCACUAUGGAAGUUCUGCCAGGGUUUAAAAUGUCCCAUCUGGCUGGAUAUAUUUGUCAUUCUACCUGUGUUUUUAAUUAUCCCAGUUAUCUGGGGCCUUAUUCUGUAUUUAUGAAAGAUAUGAUGACAAUUUUUCCCACAAUAAAGACAUUAAAUAUCUGCCCCCCCCCUUCAGUUUUUGGUUCAUGUCAUACAUUAUACUACAGAUAGAAAGUUUUUAAUGUAUUUCCACGCAUAUGAAACCGGUGUUUUAUGCAUCCAGUGCUGGUAUGUUUGUGGCAUAUCUUUGGCCGCCACCAAGGACCAAGUAGGUAUAAGUCAGGGAAAGGACUGCUUUGUUUGUCUCAUUGUUUCUCUGACUGUCCAUUAUAUACACAGUUUCAUGUUUUUCAUUCUGGAAGUGGUUAGUGCAAAAUGCUGCAGCAUGAUUGCUAACAGGAGCGACACAUUGUCAGCAUAGAACAGCUGUGCUCGGAGAUCUGCAGUUGUUGCCGAUUUGCUACCAGGCCAAGUUCAAGAUGUUGCUAUUAGUAUUAUAAAGCUCUUAACAACUUGGGAUCAAUUUGCAUAUGACACCACUUUAUCCUGUUUGUCCCCACUCGACCAUGUCAAGCAGCAGAACUGGCACAAUUACAGGUGCCACAUAAGACUGGUUCUGUAUUUCUAAGAACUUGAUCUUUGGUGUGGCAGCACUUAUACUUUGGAAUACAGUGGUACCUCGGGUUACAUACGCUUCAGGUUACAUACGCUUCAGGUUACAUACGCUUCAGGUUACAGACCCUGCUAACCCAGAAAUAAUACCUUGGGUUAAGAACUUUGCUUCAGGAUGAGAACAGAAAUUGUGCUCCGGCGGCGUGGCGGCACCAGGAGGCCCCAUUAGCUAAAGUGGUGCUUCAGGUUAAGAACGGACCUCUGGAACGAAUUAAGUACUUAACCUGAGGUACCACUGUAUAUCCUGCCUAUUGAUAUCAGGCAGGCACCUUUACUGUACUCUUUUCAGUGCCUGCUAAAAACAUUUUUUUUUUUAAGACAAGCCUACCCAGAUGUUUAGAAAGUUGAUGUGAGUCUUAAUCUGUUUUUCUUCUAUUGUUAUUUUAACUUUUCAAAGGUAUUAAAUUAUUGUUAUUUUUCUUAGUGUUUUUAAAAAAAAAAUGUAAAACACUGAAGUUUUCUAUAACAAAGCAAUGUAUAAAUUUGUUUGUGUGUAGUGUGGCAGUGGUUAAAUCCUUUGUCUGCUGUGGCUAAUGCUUGGAACUACAAUUCCCAGUGAGCAGGUGCAUAUGACCAUCAUUUCAAGCUAAGAGAGAACUAUGAAAGCAGAUGAAUUUUCUGAAUACAGUGGUACCUCAGGUUAAGUAUUUAAUUCGUUCCGGAGGUCUGUACUUAACCUGAAACUGUUCUUAACCUGAAGCACCACUUUAGCUAAUGGGGCCUCCUGCUGCUGCCGUGCCACCAGAGCCCGAUUUCUGUUCUCAUCCUGAAGCAAAGUUCUUAACCUGAAGCACUAUUUCUGGGUUAGCAGAGUCUUUAACCUGAAGCGUAUGUAACCUGAGGUACCACUGUACUCGCUGAGAAAACUUGCAAAUGCUGACCCAGUUUCAAACUGAGCUGGGGGAGUUCUCCCAACCCUUGUAAAUACCUAUGCAAUAAACUUAAUACAAAAGGCAUUUCAGGCAGCUGCAACUGCUUUUUAAAAUGUAAUCUACAAGUAAACAUGCAAACCCUGGAUGUAGGGACUAACUGCAGGUUGUGAUUUUUCUUUUCUUCUUUAAGGUACAAGGGUGAUGUUCACUGGAAAUGUGUGGAAAUGGAAGAUUCCCCAAACCUUUGAUUACAAAACAAAAAAAUCCCCUCUUGUACUGCAGCUAGGCAUGUUCAGGGAAUCCUUCAGAAUCUAUGAAAGCUGGGACAUAAGAAUGCAUUUAUCCGUGACUCAUUAAUUCCCUCAAACUACAGGACUCUUGCUGUUUGUUUGUCUUUAAGAAAAACAUGGUGUUGUGGUUAAAUCUCAUGAUAAGGGUUCGGGAGCUCUGUAGCACUAUUGCCAAGGCCAUAAGCUUCCUGUGCACUUGAGGCAUAACAGCAGCAGACUCAUUUUUCAGAAUGCAGCUCACUUCUGAACAGAUACAAAGCACAAGGGGUGUGUGUGAGAGAGGCUUUAAUCUCAGAGUCAGAGGAUGAUGAGCUGGCUUAGUCUGGGGCUGUUAUGCCACUGGCUGAGGAACUGGAGAGGUUUCCUGAUACUAAGCAGGAAGCUAGUGGUCAGAAGCCUAAUGAAUCUGAGACAAGAACCCAAAUUCUAUUUGCCUGAAGAAUCAUAGGAACAUAGGAAGCAUCCUUAUACUGACUCAGACCAAUAGUCCAUUUAGCUCACUGACUGGCAGUGGCUGUCUAUGGUUUCAGACAGGGACUCUUUCCCAUCUCUGUGUGAAAAUGCCAGGGAUGUAACCUGGGACUCUCUACAGGCAAAGCAAGUGCUCUACCACUAAGCUACUGCCCUUGCCAAAGUAUCUCCACAUCACUGCACCUGCUCAACAGUGCUAGAAGGUUUCCAGGUGGGAUACCACAGAAAAGAAGUGGAGUGCUUGCCUUCAGGCUGGGGUUGGCCAUUUAAGAAUUCACACUCUUUGGGCACAAAGGAAGGGAGCAGGUGGAAGGAAGACUGGAUGGGGAGACUCAGUUCACUGCCAGCCUUUGUCAGAACAAGUGGCUCACUUGGAGCUUUCCAUGGUGCUGCCUUUCCUCAUGGGUGUCUGCUAUGGAUUGAUCAGAACAACAGUCGCCAGAACAAGAGUUGCCAGAAAAUCUACACUGGGAAAAAGGUAGCUAGAGAGACAGUAGUGCAUGGAGUAUGAGAAGAAGAAGGCUGGUUCAUUAGGACAAAGAGGGCAAUGAACCACCAACCUUAGUCUGCCCUCAGCCUACUCUGUCUUCCUACUUAGUGCUACACUUGAAGAACUCAGCAGAGAGAAGGAUAGGCUCUGCCUGGGAUUGGCUCUGGGUCAUCUUAAUGUUGGUCUCCCUGCCUUGUGCCCCAUUAGUCCCAAUAGGCACCAACAACCAGUUAGUUCAGGAAGCUUUUCCCUACUCCCUUGCUCCAUGAAAUUCCUUCCUCCACCCUGACAAACACACUUUAUACCUGUUCAUUUUAACACAGAGAUCAUGCCACUAUCGCCUCUAAUUAGGCGCCAAGUCAAAUUAAUUUUGGGCCAAAUGACUUUCAGAACUCUGUGCUAGGAACUCAAGGUACUACUGAGCAGGUCUUCUCUGAGCAUUUAUGAGUAGCUUAACACUAAACAAGUUAUGGUGUUACAUUUUUGCAUGCCUGUCUUUUGGAAUUCAGCUAUAUUGCAUGUGAUCAGUCAUCACCUUUUCCAAAGAGAUUGUGCCCACCCCAGUCCAAGCUGUAAAGCAGUUGGACUGACUAGGAUUAGAAUGCCUGAGCAAAUGGGCAGAGACCCCAGCCAACAUGUUAACAUGCAGAAAACUUUUCUUCAGUUAAAUACUACAAGGCCUUGCUGAAACAUACUUUUUAAAAAACUGUUUUGGUGUUUUACAUUUACAUUUUGGAACAGGGCUUAUUCUAUCCAAGAUGGCAAUUGCAGAUAAAACAAUGCAUCUGUCAUACCACUUAAGCUGUAUCAGGCAACCCUCCCCCGCUUCAUGUUUCCCUGCCUCCUCAAAACGUAAGUGUUUGUGGAUUCCCCUUGACCCAUCAGUGGUUGGAACAACCCAGCCCUCCUCAUCCGAUCCAUUUCUCUGCCAGCAAAAGUCAGCGGUGCUGGACUUGAACUGCUACAGUCAGUAAUGCUACCACCUGAAAUUUGCAGAGAUGUGCAUUGUUUCUGCCUUUGCUGUUGUGAGCAAACUAAACAGUUAAAAAAAAACAAAAACCUGCCCUGCAUUUUGUUCAGGCAGGAGCAGUGAGAACAGAAACGAAAGCUCCGGGUGCACUCAUUAUUCUUUUCUACAUUUGCCUAUUCAUGUUUUGGAUUCUUACUGUAGAAUUUUGUUGGAAUAGGCUGGAGCAGUAUCGAAGAUUCUUGCAUUCCCCCCACCCCCAUAUAGCUUUUCAUAAAUAAUCCCAGUGCAAGUAGGUUGAACGUAAGUAAAUAUAAUUCAUCAACAGUGUUUCUAGGGUGAAAGGAAAAAUUUCUCAACUUUUCAGCAAUUUAUUUUACCAUUUAAAUCAAGCCUUGGAGCUUUCCUUAAACAGCCUUUAAAUCUGCCACAUUUGAAAAGUUGUUUCAAAGUUUAGAAAUCCCUCUCUUGUUAUAUGUGUACUAAAAAUAUUGUUCCAGGGUCAUAUAUUAUUCCUGAGGUUGUUUCCCCAAGAGGUCUAUAAUUAAAGGAAGGCUAUGUUUGCAGUUAUAAGGUUUGCAUUUUACACUAUGUAUGCUAACAUUUUUGGUCCCGGUCCUGCAAGCCAUCAAACAUGCAUUACCUGCCCUACAAUGUCAUUCGUGAUAUGUGGCACUGGACCCAGGGGGCUAUUCACAUGAGUCUGCUGGAUCAGCUGUUGCUAGGAAACUAUAGAUACAGAUUACAGUAAUGGCUUCUACAGAAUCUGAUCUUGAAGCAUUUCCUUCCUCCAGCAUUUUAUUAGCACUUCAGGGUUUGUCUGGUCAAAUAAGUCUAUUUCACUACCUGGCGCACACAAUUCCUAUAGUGAUAGAUGUAGUUUUGUCCUCCUUUCUUAUAUAAAUAUCAGCUUUUGAGUCAUUUGAGGUUCAGGUGUCUUUCCAGCUCCUGUAUCUUGGCUCACUUGCAGUCAAAUGCAUUUCCCAGAGCAGGGAAUAGAAACCAACUCCUCUCUGCUCUAUUAAUUGGACAUUUGUUUGCUGCAGUUGAAUGAAAGCAGCAACAGGACUCACAGACUUCUUGAAAAUUACUUCAUAUGCUUUUCAGGUCAAUAAUUUAGGGGCUUCUUUCCAUCCCCAAACCCACCUAAACAAAUAGGACAUUUGAAUAUUUCAUUUAAACAUGCUAGUGACUGGAAUAUAGGUUAAGUCAACUGUAAAAUUGAGCCUCAUCUGGAGACACAGGCUGCUUCUUCAACAGCGCCUUAGAGUGUGUGCAACAACUGCACAUUCUGCUUUGUAGACCCACUGCCUACUCUCCUUUCACAUUGUGGAACAAAGCUGGAUCCUGAUAGCUAUGUAGGGGGCAGAAAAGGAGGGAUGCCCCAUAGGGCCAGUGGAGCAGUGAGAUAGGAAGAAUUGUAGCCACAUACCAACUAAGUGCUAUGAAACUUUUAGAGAGAGAGGCAAGUCUGGGUGUGGUUCUUGCAAUCUUUCAGAUGAGCUAAAUACACUCUGUGGUAUAUGUGUGGUUUGGCUCUUUCACAACUAGUUGAUUUAGUAACUUUUUGCUUGGAGUUUUUUAAUGUCUAUGGCAUGGGCCAGCUGUAGGAUCAGCAACUUUCUUUUGUCUGGCUUCUUGCAUCUGCAGGGAAGCAGAAAUCAAGGAGAUUAAGCUUACAGUGUACAGUUUCUGCUUUCCACCCAACUGCUAAUGGACCCCUGCUAGAAAAAGUUGAGAACCCUGUCCCUUGACGUGCUGUGUAGUGACUGUAAAUGUGCAUGCCAAAGUUUAGCAGCAUACCCUGGUUGAGCCAGGGUCAGUGCAGGUGUUUAAAGAUGCCUCAGCAUGUCAUCUGCGCAGCUGUAGGAAAUGCAAUGCAAUGCAAAAAUAGUGCAGUGACAAAUUCAGGUUUGGGAGGGACCUUGGACAAGACAUCUUCCAUGACCUCCUCAUUGGAAUUAUGAAAAGCUCCUCCUCCUCUUCAUCACUGCAUCGCUUGCCAGGCAGAGAGCUAAUGAGCAAGCAGCCUUGGCAUUGCCACUUCUCCUUCUCGUUUCUGCUACUGUCUGGGCCAUAGCAAAAGGCAGAGAACACCAAACAGUUGCAAUGAUGAAGGUAAGCAGCAGCUUCAAAGAGCUCUUGGCAGUGAACUCCCUUUGGGGUGUGAGGCCUUGGAUAAUGCCCAAUCAUAGUCUUGAUGCUGGUCCUCACAGCGCAUGUUGCACAAUGUGUUGCAUAAUGUGCCACUGACAAAUGCUCCAGUUGUUCAGUAUUUAGGGAUUUGUCUCUGUUCCCAUUCUGUCCCUGUUUCAUCUUUUGAGUGAGAUGUUAGGAGUUUAUUUUAUUUAUAUAUAUAUUAAUGGUGCUUAUAAUACCAACUCAAAAAAAAAGUUAUCCAGGCAGCUUACAAAGACAAUAAAAAAUUAAGAUACAACGUUAAACAAAGUACGCACACUCACAAAUGCAACAUAAAAAACUCCAGCAGCAGAGAAUAAAAUCAUUAGCUUUUUUUUUUUUAAAUGUCAGUGCAAACGCAUAUGCAUUAGGAUCUGACACUGGCCUCAGGCCCCUAAAUGUCUUGGACCAGCAAUGCUUCUGGCAGCCUGCUCUCAGGUAAGCAUUCUGCACGGGUACACAGCUUUAUCAAGAAAGAUCCUUUCUGGGGAAACUCCUGUCUGGCAGAGUUUUAACUUUAAAAAGGCCCAAUACAAAAAGUUAUCUAUAUUCUGAAUUACUUUUUUUGGGAGCAAGCAAAUGUAUGCAUAUUUCAAAAGUUUAACAAGACAGCUUUGCUUUACUAGUGACAUCAAGAUAGCGUCCCUUGGUUUUGUUUUGGAAAUACUGUUGCAGAAUAAAGAUCGGCUGGGUGUAAAUCAUAAGCUGGGUGUUAAAUAUAGCCCAAACAUGCAAGUAAAAGGUCCUUACCUUAGCUUAAUGCCAAGUGCUUAGAUGUGUCCAAGAAAAUCAAUUUAUAAGAUUUCACAGAGAAGGCCUUUGUCCUUUUGUAUUUCAAUUAAAGUAUCACACUGCUAGCACAUAUAUAUUUUAAAAUAAAAUGUCAUCCAGAAUAUAAUCAGUAAUACAAGCAAAUAGAGCAUGAUGACCUGCUGUGAGAGGGGCUGGCCCAGCCAUGAUUUUGUCCACAUCCCUGUCUGCCUGAGUAAUUUUAAAGACAGAAAACACCUUUGGGAAUGAAAGGUAAUAAGUAGGUUCAACAGUGAGGCAUUUAUGGCCAAGUGGUUCCUUGUUUCAGAUCCAAGUAUGAAAUUACAGUGGGUGAAAUGGAGAAGUUUGCCACGGUGCACCAGAAAGAGAAAGCGGGCCUUGGGAGCUGAAAGCUUUAAAUGGAUGUUUUGAAUGUUGUGCAUAUUGUGAUGCAGAGUAGUUCUUGGUGUCGUGAGUUCAUUGACUUCCUCCAUGUGUGGGCUGUAUAUGUAGGUGGCAGUGCCAGCACCAUCUCUGGCACUUGGGCUAACACUGGAACGCUCUGGGAAUGUCUACCUUUAUUGUUCUUUUUGUUUGCUUGCUUUUUUAAUGGGUUGUGUGCUCUCCGCUCCCCUCCUAGGCUGGGUGGGUGUAGGACAUAGCAGCCGCUCCACUGGUGCAGGGGCAGUAUAUCCUCCUUAUAAACCAGUACAGUGGUACCUCGGGUUACAUACGCUUCAUGUUACAGAUGCUUCAGGUUACAGACUCCGCUAACCCAGAAAUAUUACCUCGGGUUAAGAACUUUGCUUCAGGAUGAGAACAGAAAUCGUGCUCUGGUGGUGUGGUGGCAGCAGGAGGCCCCAUUAGCUAAAGUGGUGCUUCAGGUUAAGAACAGUUUCAGGUUAAGUACGGACCUCCGGAACAAAUUAAGUACUUAACCCGAGGUACCACUAUAUAUAAAUGGUUUAUAGGACUGGCUCAUAAUUUUGUGAAGUUAUUCUGAAGCAAAUUGAAACAGUGGGAUUCCUUCACUUUCUGAAGAAAUGAAAAGAAAUGUAAGCUUUCCGUAUUUUGCUGUGUGAGCACUCCCUAGUCCAGUGAAAAUGCAAAUUAUAGAGUUUUCCUUUUAAACCCUGGGGAAACCCAUAAUCCUGCUCCGUCUCUCAUGACACUGGCCUGCUCUUUCGUGAACUUUCUCUAGUGUGGGUUUUUUUUUUUACAAAAAACCCAAACAAACACCCCCCCUUCAUUCCCUUCAGCUUUGGAAUAUCUGCAUCUGUAUCACAACAACAUACAGUGGUGCCCCGCAAGACGAAUGCCUCGCAAGACGGAAAACUCGCUAGACGAAAGAGUUUUCCGUUUUGGAGGUGCCUCGCAAAACGAAUCUGCUAUGGGCUUGCUUCGCAAGACGAAAAUGUCUUGCGAGUUCCUGCGUUUUUUUUCCCCUUUCCCCCCUCUUUUUCUAAGCCGCUAAGCCGCUUAUCUGCUUAUCCGAUAAGCUGAUAAGCCGCUAAAAGCCGCUAAAAGCCGCUAAAAGCCGCUAAUAGCGCUAAUCCGCUAAUCCCAUCAAUGGGCUUGCUUCGCAAGACGAAAAAACCGCUAGACGAAGAGACUCCCAGAACGGAUUCUUUUCGUCUUGCGAGGCACCACUGUAUCAGGAAAGUGACUUCAUCUUCUCCCACCCUUUCGCCUGCAGCAGUCUCCUGUUCCCUCUGCCUACCCUAUGAAGAUGUUCUUGAAGUAUGCUAGGGGCUUGAACUACUGGUUGCUUGGCUCUUUCAAGGUUCAUAGUUAACUCCAUAUAUAUAUAUAUAUUGCUGUUUUUAUAUAGAAAGGCUAUUGGAUAUCUGGGCUUGGGAGAGUUGAAAAUGACAAUGUCUCUUUCCACAAAACAGUAAGGGCCAAGAUGUAGAGUGCAACCAUUCACUGUUCCAACCUAUUUUUGAACAGUAUGUUGGUGGCAUGAAAAUAAGGAUAUUCAUUUAACAAGGAGAAGGAACUGUUUCUCAGAAACAAAUUAGCUAUCCAGACCAGGUAAAAUUGAUGCCAGAUUCCAAUUUGUGAUAAAAGGUAUUUGAGGCAGGCAGCAUUUUACACACUAAUAAGUCAUUUCUACAAUGUGUGGAUACAUCCUACUAGUAUCAGCAAGCAUUCACAUGGAUGUUAAACAGAAGGAAGGUUGCUGCAGAUGAUGACCCAGUCUUGAAAACUAAGCAUACAACCAAGAUCUCAGUGUCAGUGAGAACAGCAAGCCAUUCCUUAGCCAAGAACGGGAAUAUCCUGGCUGCAGUUGUGCUGCUCAGCUGCUGGAUAAAAGCCAGCAUGUAAGAGAGUGACUUUUGUGAAUUCCUGGAGUGGAUCCAUGUAGUGACAGCAUUAAUGUUUGCCCAUGUGGGAGCUGACCUUAAAGUCCUACAGCCAUACAAGCUGCUCAUCUUAUCUGCUGGCAUUCUGCCCUCUCUGCAGCUACGUUUAUGACCUUGCUUUAUCAUUGUGCUCAGCCCACUACUAUAUUAAUAAAAUGUUCAUGUAAAAUGUAUACCAUUUCUGGCAUGAUGUAUACCAUUUCUGGCAUGAUGAAAUGGAGAUGAAUAAUAAAUCCAAAUUGCAAUAAUUUUAUACUAAAGGAAUUCUUUGGUAUUUCCUCCUCUAGAAAAUUUAUACAAGGACUAAGUAGCCAGGAGAAAAACAGAGGGCCUCCAUAUGCAUCCCAUGGCUGAAGAUGCUGCUGAUUGUGUAUUGUUUUUUCAGCUUUCCUCUUGAAGAAAAUGUUUGGCCCUCCUGUUUGCUGAAAAUAUAACGGAAGCACGAGGGAGGCUCAAUAUCACAAAGCUGAAUAAUAAGUUCUCCACAUGUAUUUUUCUUUUCUGAAGUAAUGGUUUCUCCAAGCUCAUCUUCUGCUUUUUCAUUGGUUUUACACAUUUAGUUGUCAUUCUCCCCCCUCCUUUCCUCCUCCUGAAAUUCCCCCCUUCUCCUGAACUCUAAACAACACCCCAAGGGUCCUGCUCCAGGCUGGCUGGAGACCUGAACAAGAGCAGACCUGUUGAGGUCUGAGGAGGGACUGGAACAUUUUGUUGCAGGUCUCCACUUGCCUUCCUGCAGCUCCUACUAAUCCAGAUGACAAGGUGACCUUUUGUAUAGCCAGUUACAAACUUAGCUGUUACUCAUUAGAUUUCCUUUGAAAGAUUCUCAUCCACAUAUUGAUCUGCUUAGCUUGAGAAAGCUAAAAAUACUGCAGCAUUGAGUGGCACAUGAUGCAGAAGUAAGCAGAAACAUGAAUCAUUUAUAUCAAAAAUGGUCAACUGGCAGUCCGCAAGCCACAUCCGGCCAGUGGAGCAAUUUGAUACAAAGUGUGAUAAGAUCUGUUGGGGCUCUUCUGAUGUUCUUACAUUUUAUCUCUUGUAAUUUUGAUGUGUGUUCUUGUGGAUGUGUUCUUGUGUGUAGCUGUGGAUAAACUGCAGUCAUUGCUGAUGUGAAGCCUCCUUAGCACAUUUUUUAGUAUCGGCAAUUUGUCACGUGUGGUGAUGGGUUAGUGGGUGGUCGCUAUCACCAUGCCCCUACUUCUCUUUGCUCCUCACCUGCCUACCAAACAAAAGGCACCUACAGUGGUACCUUGGGUUACAGACACUUCAGGUUACAGACUCUACUAAUUCAGAAAUAGUACCUCGGGUUAAGAACUUUGCUUCAGGAUGAGAACAGAAAUCAUGCGGCGGUGGCGGGAGGCCCCAUUAGCUAAAGUGGUACCUCAAGUUAAGAACAGACCUCCAGAACGAAUUAAGUUCUUAACCCAAGGUACCACUGUAUUUUCACCAGCUGCCACAGACCAAAGGCGUACCCUGUUCAAAGGAGUUAUUCUCUCAAGGUCUUCAUAGAGUAAAUUAUGUGGUUUUACUCUGGAUACUAUUGUUGCAGUCCUACACUGGAGAUAGGUAGGUAGGUAGGUAGGUAGGUAGAUAGAUAGAUAGAUAGAUAGAUAGAUAUGUUGCACAAAACCUCUUUAUCAUUAUUUUGGUAUUUCCUUAUUUCUGAGGGUUUUUUUAGUGUGUGUGUGUGUGUGUGUGUGUGUGAAUGCAUGGUUGUGUGAUUAACAUUUACUGGGUGUUUGGGGCAUUCCUAAUAUUUUGAGAUGCUGAUAGCCACUCCAGCCAUGCCAAAUCAAACAGCAGAUUGAGAUACCUAAACAUCUUGUGCAAGACCUCAGUAUUGCAAAUUAAAAACAAACAAACUGGAAAUGGAUACUGUGUGCACAUGCACACACCACCAAGAGCACAAGUAUCCAUGUUGUUCCGUGUGGAACAUGAUAAAUAAAGGCUGGUAACAUUUGCUCUUGAACUCCUACAUACUUACUGGGAUUAUAUUUGUGUCUAUGCAUUCAGGUACAAAAAUACCCAGGACAGAAAAAGGUACGGAACGAUGAGAGAAGAGUGGAUGAGAGGAAGGACCCAUAACUAUCCUGUAUACAUUCCAUCAAUCUCUUCUCACUGACCUGGAUACCAUGCAGUAGAAGAGCGAGGAAUAUCUAGGCUUGGCUUGGGGUGGAAUGCAUGGAAGCUAAUGUGUCAACCAUGCUCAAGGAAAUAUUGGAUCCAAAUGACCUUUUUGUGAUGUAAAGCUCCAGUCUGGAAACUCAUGUGAUCAAAUGGUUAUAGUACAAUAUUUUAUAUGUUAUGCUCCCAUCACAGGAGCCAACUUCUAGGGGCCGAGGUACCUUCAGCCCCCCCCAAUAAAAUAUUGGUGUGUGUUUCCCCCCAAAAACAAAAUGCAAUUGCAGCACUGAUCUCCCAAGGUUGUACUAACAGUGCACUGUUGAAGACUUUCAGGGCUCCUAUGCCUUUAAUAAAACAUCUCCUGUUUGCAGGUCCGGCCUGCUUUAUUGCUUCCUGCUUAUCUAGGCAGGGGAUUCAUGAUGAAUAGCCAAAUAACUGUACUGUAAUAAGCCCAGUUUCUCUCCGUAGGACAGAAUUACUGUUUUCCUUAUACUGGGCCAGAUUCAACUACCCCAUCCUGCUAGAGGAAACCAGCCCAAGGACUCUUCACUAAUACAACAGGGCUCCCCUGCCAUCCUGAAAGGUUGGCAGAUCCCCUAGAGUAGCGUGGAGGGGGUAGAGGGGAGAUCGUUUCAUUGGGCAAGAAGAAAUGCUUGCAGUAAUGGAACAAUCUCAUUUUUAAAAUAGUGAAAUAGCUCGGUUAAAAAAUAAAAAUAAAUAAAAACUAAUUUUAAAAGGUAAGGAAACCAGAAAUUAAAACCUCCCCCACUUCUUCCACAAGUUUUUCUCCCAGGCAAGGGUUUUUCCAGAUAUAAUUUCCUCCAGCAACUUUAGUUCAAGACCCAGUAAUUAAAAAGGAAGUGACGCUGUGGGUUAAACCACAGAGCCUACGACUUGCCUAUCAGAAGGUCAGCGGUUCGAAUCCCCGCGACGGGGUGAGCUCCCGUUGUUCGGUCCCUGCUCCUGCCCACCUAGCAGUUCAAAAGCAUGUCAAAGUGCAAGUAGAUAAAUAGGUAUCGCUCCGGCGGGAAGGUAAACGGCGUUUCCGUGUGCUGCUCUGGUUCGCCAGAAGCGGCUUAGUCAUGCUGGCCACAUGACUGGAGCUGUACGCCAGCUCCCUCGGCCAAUAAAGCGAGAUGAGUGCCGGAACCCCAGAGUCGGCUACGACUGGACCUAAUGGUCAGGGGUCCCUUUACCUUUACCUAUAUCAUAUAAGACGUAUCUGUAUUAGAAUGGUUUGGAUCUGCCAAUGGUGGGCUUGUUCAAUGGCUGUUCCCUGUAUACAUGCAUCCAUGUUAAUUCUGCUAGCAACGGUCAGCAUGGGGAUUAGCAGGGUUGACGUUUGGAUUACAGGUUUAGGAAUGCCAACAUGCCAAUCAUCUGAAAGAAACACUAUGAUCACCACAGAAAUGCCCUAACUUCUGUCUCUUGUACUGAGCAGUCCAGUUUUUACUUGCAAAGACACGGAAGCGUCUCAUAACAAAAAGUAUCUUCCUUGUCUCAUGUGGUCUCAGGAAAGAAAAAUGUUCUGCAUAAAUGGCCAACUGCUACUUCAGCUCUACGCAUAUGCUGCACUGCAGCUCAUAUAUUUAUCUCUCUCUGCCUUCAUACUUCCUUUGAGAAACAGCUGACCCUUGCUUAAUAAAUUUCAUGCUAGACACAACCCCAAGUAAAAAAAAAAGACUGAAUGAAUAGACAUCCGGAUAAAGCCUUUGGUAAAAUGAAUAAGACAUUGUACGGUAAUGAAUAAGAUGUGUAGUCCACAACCCACUUACUCCAGAGCAGUCCAGUGACUUAAUGGUACCAUUCCAAGGUAAAUAGAUUAUGGAUUGCACUGUGUGUGAGCAGAAAUCCUUCAAUUAGUUUAUUCAAAAUUUAUAUUCUUCCUAAAUAUAGCCUAUACUAUACAACUGAUGGCAAGCUGAAUUAUUUAUUAGCUCAUUUUCCAGUCAUCCUGCUGAUAUGUGCACACUCUGCUUGCAUAUACAUUCAUGGAGUCAAAAAAUGAAAUAAUGCCCUUAUCCUAUGAGAGCCUAGACCAGCACAGCAGGCCAUGCCGUGCCAAUGUUCUCCUGCUUAAAAUAGUACCUGUUUGAAGAGGGGUAAAUUGCUCCACUUUUAUUUAUUUAACAGGAUUUAGAUACCGCUUAAUUACAAAAACAUCUAAGCGCUUUACAUAUAUUAUUUAAAAAUAAAUUGAAAUUAUCAAGCAAACCAGAUAUUUAAAACAAGUUAGCCUAAAAAAUUUCAAAAUAAAUCAGUACUUUCAAAAAUACACACUGUAAAAAGGUAAAGGGACCCCUGACCAUUAGGUCCAGUCGUGGCCGACUCUGGGGUUACAACGCUCAUCUCGCUUUAUUGGCCGAGGGAGCCGGCGUACAGCUUCCAGGUCAUGUGGCCAGCAUGACUAAGCCGCUUCUGGCGAACCAGAGCAGCGCAUGGAAACGCCGUUUACCUUCCCGCCGGAGCGGUACCUAUUUAUCUACUUGCACUUUGACGUGCUUUCGAACUGCUAGGUUGGCAGGAGCAGGGACCGAGCAACGGGAGCUCACCCCGUUGUGGGGAUUCGAACCGCCGACCUUCUGAUUGGCAAGUCCUAGGCUCUUUGGUUUAACCCACAGUGCCACCCGCGUCCCUAUCAUACACUGUAAGAUGACAUAUUAAAAUGCAUGUCAAAUAUACAUGUCUGGGUAGACUAGAUUAAACAAAACAAAAACUUUUAGCAGGUGCCAAAAACCAUCCAGCAAAGGCGCCCGCCUAAUAUCAAUGCGCAGGGAAUUCCAAAGUUUAGGUGAUAUCACACUGAAAGAUCACUUGCAAGUAUGGAAUGAAUAUUAUGUGGCACUGUAAAAAGUGCCAGUUCCAAAAUAUGCAUUUAUAGCAAUGCUUUGGCUAAAGUAGAUCAUGCCCUUGAGUCCUCCUUUGUCCAGUGGGCUUUUCCUUUAUGAUGAGCUGUUUGAAUGGUUUUGCUAUUUUCUGUGUUGUACAACUGCACCCGAGUACUGUGGUCAGGAAUAUUGUUUUAAACAUAUAUUAAUGUGAUCUUAAAAGAGUGACUGCAUAGGAGACCAUCGCAAACCCCAGCCUGUAUCCUGUGGAGUCGGUCUGCAGACUCCAUGGUGUACUUAGCACAGGGGCAAUAAAAGAAAAUAAGCAUUAGCAGGAGGCCUUAGUUUCCUGUCCAGAGCUCAGCUUAGCUUCCCAGAGGAAGGAACACAAAAGUAGAGUCACUGAACACUGCAGUGGCCUGGCUGGUGAGGCUGAUUCUCUGUUACCUCACUGACAAUCUCAUUAGGGCGCUCUUGAUGAUGUUUGGCUAUGCUUCAUAAUGUGAAGACCCCAAUAAGAAGUUACUUGUUAGCCUCAUGAAAAAUAGCCGCUGCAGAUAAACUUUAACGGCCAGUUGCCUCGCAACCAAAAGUCUGUCUCGUGAGAGAAUCCAGUUGCUCUAGCAACAGCCUUUUGACAGGUGCUGAGAGCCACAGACAGCAGAGCUCGUACUGGUGGCUGGGCCAAAGGACACUUGACUGAUACACCACACUACCCUAGACAAACAGAUUACUUCACCAGCAACACUUUCUACCCUGUGAACUCGUAGUAAAUACACAUUUCAGAAUGUGUUUUCUGUUACGGAAAGAAAGGAGCUCAAGGCAUCAAAACACCGGUUAGAAAAUUAAAUACUUAUACUCUGAAUUCAGUGGAAAGGAGGAAGGGAUUUGCAAAUCCCUGUCAUCUCACUGAAAAAGACAGUGGCAAAGACAUGAGUGCAAUUAAGCGGGGGGGGGGGGAGAGAAUAAUAGGGAAAACAGCUUUGGGUGGGCAGCAUUUGCCAGCUCCUGCAGUCUGUUUCGCCAUUUGUUUUGUAGCGUCUAUACCAUAGCAUCAAGUGUCCUUUGUUCUAGCCACCAGUGCAAGCUCAACUGUCUCCGCAGCUCAUAGCUCGUAUAAAAUGGACCUUAUUAUUUUCCUUAGUGUUUACUUCAUUAUUUAAAAUACUAAUGUUUAGAAAGUUGGCGUUAUAAUCAUAUAUACUAAUGUACUGAAAUAUACCUGAAGGAUCCUCUCAACCCUAACAUACCAAAUUGAGCCCUUUGGUCUGCAGGUGAGAACAUCCAGCAGGUAUCAUCUUAUCAGGAGGUUUAUUCCACACAAUGUAGGAAUUUGGCCUUUAGGGUUGUGGUACGUACUCUUUGAAAUCCCCUCCUUGAAUAUUAGACGAUUUCAUGUAUGCCUACAGAUGAGAAAUUUUAUGAUUUUAAUACAGUAUCUUUUUCUUUUCGCCAUUUUGGACAAAAAUUUGGUAAACCAAAAUUACUGUAAACGAAAAUUUAAUGGCAAAGGGUUAGAAAAAGAAGCUUAUUGGGAAAUUUUUCUGCUAGCUCAGACUCAGAUGGUAAUCAGUUAUGUUGGGGAGUCACCUGCAGGGAAGGAGGUACAUAGCAUUCCCUGAAAACCACUAGCACAUCACCUCGUUUUAAACGCAGGCCAAUCCACAAACCUUUACUUUUAGGCAAAUUGAGUUCUACUGACUUUAAAGGCAGAACAUUGGUUUGACUUAAAUGAGUUGUGGCUAGGGCUGACUGACCCACAGAUGAAUGUGUCCCUAUGGUCAUGUGACUCAGCUUCCACUGAAGUCAAAGGGACUCUUUCCUUUGACUUCACAGAGAGUUGUAUCAAGCGCUGUUUGUCCGAGAAAAAGCUAAUAUGGAAUUUAACUGAAUAAACACUUUAGCAGUGAAGAUUACAAAGUAACCUUUCACUUGGUCUUUUUCUUAAACAGAAGGGAGAUGUUUUGCUGCCAGUUUGGGUGUUUAUUUUCCAGUUUCCAUAGAAAAUAAUUGGUCUCGUAUUUUCUCUCUGCCUAGGAAUAAAUACCUUUAUUCAUGCUCCCUAAACUUAGCAGCACGCACAGCCAGGACUCAUGCUGAGACUCGAUCCAAGCUGUCUCCUGCCACAAUUCACUGUGGACAGAUAAGGCUGUACAAUUUUUAUGUGGGGCUUUGAACCACUGGAUGAAAGUAUAUAUUUCUUGCAGCACAUUUAUCCUGUUGACUUCUGCAGUUCCAGCCCAGAGAUAGAAUGCUAAAAAGAGAACAGUAGAGGCCAUCAGGGCAAGAAGCCCAUCAAAGACAGCACCCACUGCAUAUGCUGUUAUUUAAAGCAUUAUUGUUUUCCUUAUUACCCUAGAGUCCAUCUUUAUUAUUAUUGUUCCUCUUUGGGAAUAUUUUAGGCUAGGUUAGUUAACAUGGAAAAUACUAAAUAUACAGCAUCCUAAAAUACAGGCAUUAUAUGUAACAACCCAUAACCAGCCUAAGCAAAUGAGAAAGAAAAGGUGUGUUGGCCAGGGUUUUCUUGCUGGCAUUAAGUUAUAUGGCAUGGUCAACAAGAGCCCUGAGCAAUAUUAGACUGACCCAUUUGCUGUCAUUUCAUCACACCUCCUGGAGAGCCAAUAAUUAGGGGUAAGCUCAGCUUUUCUCCUUAACAACCUAUAUAUAUUACUGAGGAUCUCUGUUUGCUUAGUCCAAUAUGGAAUAACUUGGGCCACUUUAAACAGUAUGGCCAAAAUUGUGGUGGACCCUAGGGUCUCAAAUUUCAACAGCACCCUGUGCAAUGGCAAAAAUGGAUAGUCCUGCCUCUCACCUUCCAUUCUACAACAUAGUUGCGGUUUCCCUUGUGGUGCCCCCAAGGCUCCACACCCAGGUUGCGAUCCCCUAAAUCCACCAUGUCGGAGCUUCACUUAGUGGGCUUCACUUAUCAUUUACACACUUUUCAGGGCCAACUGGAAUCCCAGCUACAACUUUCCUGGCUUGUGUACUCAUGCGCCUUUCAGCAAGUCCCAGGAAAUUGCAAAGUGGAGGAAGAAGGUUUGUUUUCCUGGGUCCCAAUAUAACAUCAUCCCCAACCCCUGGUAUGGCCUGGCUAUAAAUACUUCCAGGUAAGUCUUUUGCUGUUAUAUAUUCUCAGAAGUGAGUAGCAGACAGUUCUGGUGGCCUGGAGCUCGAGUCAGGUCCAUGCAGGGGUGGGGGCCAGCCGGGUACAUUUGCCCUGGGCCUCGAAGGGCUAAGCUGGCCAGGGGCCGCUGCCAAGGACCAGCUGCUUUUUGUUUGAGCUUAUAACUUUGUCCUAACAAGGCUACCACCCUGGGCCUCAGAAGAGCUCUACACUGGCCUGGCUCAAGUACUUGUGCUUCUCUGCUCUCCAGUUCCUGUUGUGCUACCUUGGCUCUCCUACAGCCUGGCUAGGGUUCUUCCUAGUACUGCUGUGCUUCAAAUGUUUUAUCUGGCUACACCCUCAGCCAAUCCUGACCUCCUGAAUGAAGACACCUCAAUGAAGCUUGCAGACAACACUUUGAAAACCCCUGAUCUAAAGAACUCCUCCCACCCCUUUAGGCCAUUAAGUGCAGAGUCGAUGGUUACUUAAAGCUACUACUAUGUGAUGUGACAGAGUAACCACUCCACAAAGAUUAAAACUGUACAAGUGGGAUCAGAAAGCAAGUAUAUGGACCCUUUUGACAAUAUGACAAAAGACUGGCCUACAUUCACUGCCUUGAGCAAGUACAUUGUGCCCUGGGAUCCUCCCAAAAAAUAAACUGCCAGUAUUGUUGAACUAAUAAAUUUACAUAGCGAUAGCAGAGGCUCACUAGAGGUUUAUCAUGGAACAUACACAACAGAAAGUAGGCUGGAAAAAACAUGCUCAGGUAGACAACUGGAAUGCUGGCCAAUAACUAAAUGAUGAUGGUGGUAACAACAUAUUCAUUUCCAGUUCAGUACAUGCACCAACAAGAACCCACAUUUUCAAUUUCUUUCUGCAAGUAUAACCUGUAAAAUACAAAGCCAUUUACCUGUACAAAACAUAUUGAAUAUUUAUUGGUGAAUGAAGUGUGCCAUUUCAUAAAUGCAAGCUGAAUUUCAAUAUGUUUUCUUACAUUUUAGGUGUCAUAACAGUAGACAUUGACUGAGGUGAAAAGAACAACACUUGCUGCAAGCAGUCCGAAAUGGAGGGUAUGCCACUCGUGACCACAAAGUUUUUCUCUCAAGUUCCAACAGUGGUAAAUAUUUUUCAGUGCCUCCGUGUGAGGACUGCAUUAUUUAAACAAGCCUUUAGCUAUCCUUCUGAGGCUUGAAUGAGUCAUGUCUCAUAUUAAUAGGUUGCUGUGUCUCCUCCAGCUGUGAAAGCUUCUGUCCUUAUACAGUGGUGUUGUGUUUACAUAAGGCCAAACUGCAAUACAUACAAAUGGCCAUGAUAGCAAGGGGUGGGAGUCAACAGACCCUUUCCCAACUUCUGACCUCUCUCUGUUCCCAAAGUGAGGUUUCUUGCAUUUAAAAAGCCCACCAGGCUACAGUUACAUGUGUCUAUGUCAGUGGUUCUCAAUCUCUGCCCCCACCCCCAAUAGGCCACUUUAAACUUCUGAGGGUCUUGGCAGAUUUUUCUAUCUGCUGUAGAAUUUGUAAUGUGCUGCGCUAGCUGAUACAAGAUUUUUAAUUAUUUUUGUUGCAGCUUUUAUUUAUUAUAUAUUGUACUUUAUUGUAUUAUUCAAUAGAAUAAUGAGGGCUACCAUAGCAAGGAUGCCCACAUUCUGCCUGUUUGAAUUUUUAGUGGGUGGAACAGGAAACACGACUGUAGCAAAGCAAUGUUGGUCUCAUUUUGUGAGCAGAGGCUGGCAGAACUGUUCUGGUUGAGACACAGGAUGACCCCUGACCCAUCCAACCUGUUCCCCGAAUGAUGAAUCUGGGAUUUGGAGAGCUAAAUUCCCUUCUACUGGAAGAAUUUGAAAAUAUGCCAGCAAUGUAGGUUUUGUUGAACACCAGGUAUUUCACUUGCUGAUCUGCUGGCCAGUCACUCGCAGAACUUUAUUUCUUGAAAGAUCAGAGAUCCAUUUUUUCUUGCAGGACCAGAACCAGUGUUCCCAUGCUAUGGCUUAAUAUCAUAAUGCAGCCAUUAUUUAUUUGACAGACACUAUCAUAUAUACAUUGCUGAGGAUGAAUAGUUUUCAUGGGUCAAACUGGAAAGAAAAGGCACAAGGGAAAAGAAGAAGCAUAACAACAUUGCUUUCCUCCAUCAACCCUUCAGCAUGCCUGAUAACCCCAAAUAUAUAUGCAAAUAGUCUGUUUAUCUGAACUCCAAAGUAAACAAAUAUGCUGAAUGUAUUUCUGGUCAUUCAGAAAAUAAAGUUUCAUUGUACUCAAGAGCU
This is a non-coding RNA of Podarcis lilfordi (Lilford's wall lizard), 45630 nucleotides long. Lineage: Eukaryota; Metazoa; Chordata; Lepidosauria; Squamata; Lacertidae. The record is from the annotation of a GenBank genome assembly.